AAUUCACCAAGUGGGUCGAAGCAGAGCCUGUUGGCAGCUGUGACGCGGAAACGGCCAUCAAAUUCUUGAAAAAAUUGAUAUCCCGGUUUGGAUACCCACACAGCAUUAUCACUGAUAAAGGUACCAACUUAUCACAAGGGGCGAUGCAGGAGUUUUGCAACCGGGAGCAUAUUCGGCUUGAUGUGUUUGCGGUUGCUCGUCCACAAUCUAAUGGGCAGGCAGAACGGGCGAAUCAGGAAGUGCUGCGGGGAAUCAAACCCCGACUUAUGUUUCCCCUGGAACGCACCCCAGGGUGUUGGGUUGAGGAGUUGCCUUCGGUAUUAUGGAGCAUUCGAACCACCCCGAAUCGUUCUAUGGGUUUUACUCCUUUCUUCUUGGUAUACGGAGUAGAAGCCGUUCUUCCCGGUGACAUUAGGCAUGACUCGCCCCGAGUCGCCGCUUAUGUGGAGUAGGAUAAUGAGUUGGCACAUCAAGAUUCUUUGGAUGCUUUGGAGGAAGCACGCGAGUUGGCUGCCUCCCGAUCGACUAUCUAUCAGCAAGACUUGCGGCGUUAUAAUAGCCUCCGGGUCAAGAGCCGAGCUUUUCAAGAGGGCGACUUAGUGCUCCGGUUGAUCCAAGAUCGCACUAGCAUGCAUAAGUUGUCACCGCCAUGGGAAGGACCGUUUGUCAUCAACAAAAAUCUUCGCAAUGGGUCAUACUAUUUGGUGGAUCUUCGGCCUGAUCGGCCAACGACGGAGGCUAAGUCAACUCGCCCCUGGAACAUAGCCCAUGUGCGGCCUUACUACACUUGAGCUAUUGGCUCCCCUUUUUCCUUUCUCUCCCAUCUUUGGAAAUUGUAAGUCCUUUGUUUAUAUAAAGCAAUAAAGUCGAUACCCACGAAUUUUGGGUUUUCCUGCCACUUCAUCUUCUUGAAAGCAUGGAUCUUUAUUGUCCUUCAACAAGUCACCCAAGCAUGGACGCUAUCAAUACCAGAGAGCAUAAGUCGCCAUGCUGCACUUAUUACAACACUGGGUAUCGAUAAGCCAAAGAGGAUCAAGUCGCUACAAGCGCACGAUUCAAACAUGGGCACCUUAUAUGAUUCUUAGGAUUAGGCCGGCUUACUUGGGGGCUAUCAGCUCCCAAGUCGUUUUGUGGUAAGAGCGUAUACGCUUCUACAAUCCUAUGACCAGUCUUUCCCCUAAUCAUAGGUCACUUGGGGGCUUCCUCUCACUGAGAUCAGCCUAACUACCCAUUUGGCUAGCGAAAAAUUACCGCACUAAAAAUGGUUAUACUGGACUGUGUGUUGGCCAAAUCGCCAUAUGGAACCAUGAACUCUUGGCGAGUCAAUCCGCUAUUUGGACCCUGAACUCACCUUGGUUAAAAUAUGCAUGGUACCGGCUAGUGCCCCACAUGGAAAAUAGAGAAACCAUUGGUUCAUUGAACCUGCUUCACCGAAGCUUGACUCGCGCCUGAUCAGCCGGUCUAAAUACUUGAUCUUUUUUGCACAAAAACUCUCCUUUGGGUAGCACUUGAGUUUUUCUAACUCGUCCUAUCCUGUCGCGAGUUGAACGAGCCAACGAAAUUCUUACUAUCACCUUCCUGGCACUGCCAUAAGGUUUCACAGAUCUAUGAGACUCGCCGUGUCUCGUUGAGCCGGGUUUCUUCAUACAAUUUGCCAAGACACCUUGAGUCGGUUAUUAUUUAUCAUCAUCCAUUACUCAUUGAGAUGGUUUGAUAUAUGCUUUUGCUAGCCAAACAGGUUGGUGAUCGAAUCUUUACUGACAUGGCGGGUCAAGCAUCAUGGCACUCCAAGGGCGGCACAAGGUUUUUUCAAAGGUCACAGAAGAGUUCCACAACAGACAUAAGCAAAGGAUUGUUUUCUACAAUGACCUAUUACAUGGCUCAGAUGGCCAAAUCAGUAGGGUCUAUUCUGCUGGUGCCUCCGGGUCAACUUGCCUCGAGCUGUGGCCGACUUCAAGUUGUAAAUCGCGAAGUACCCAAUUACACUUGGAUAGAGCGGCAAAUUCGUCUUCAUCGUUCANNNNNNNNNNNNNNNNNNNNNNNNNNNNNNNNNNNNNNNNNNNNNNNNNNNAGAUCCGACUCCAAAUCAAAAGGUUCUUGGAUCGACGAGGAGUUAAGCUGGUUGUCACAAAUGCAGGCGGGUUUACUUUCUUGUUCUUGUCAUCAUAAGUGGCUUGGUACUUUGAUAAAUCCAAACUUGCUGCUAGCUGAGUCGCCGCCGAGCGUGAUUCCUUGACGACGCAAUGAUAAUCAUCUUGAGUAAACUCUGACUCGUCAUCCUUGAGCUGUGGGAAGCCUGCUGCUACCUCUUCGGGCUUCAGUUCUGGAGCAUACGCCAAACACCGACACAAGGUAGCCAGCGCCCCUUCCGGGCGGCUGAUCGGGUUAGCUCACCUAUCUGAGGCGGAAGGGUGGAUAAGCAUCCAAGCAUCUUUUUGAUUCAUGUGAUUGGUUCCUUGGUGCCCAUCACUGCCUUCAUGAUCAGCAUGCUCCCAGUACACAGCUGCUCAGUCAGUGUGUAAAUCGCCUUUAACUUCAAGAUGCAGUCGUCCUGAAGGUUGGCGGCUCUCGGGCCUGCGUGAGAAAGACAAAUGAUGGUUCGUACUUUGUUUUUUUCACACUAAUUUUUUAUUUUAGAGAUACGAAACCAGGAAUUCCUUCUUACCAAAGAUGGUCCGUGUCAUGCUGGAAAUAUGUUUCUUUAAACCGGCCAGUUCUUGUUGCAUCGCUCCCAAUUUUGUUUCAGUCGUUUCAGCUCGCUUUAGCGUGGUGGCUUGAUCAACUUGAGAUUUCUUGUCGGCGGCUUUCAGCUUUUCCAUAUUAGCUAAGAUUUCCUGUUAUUUUUCUUCUGCUUGAGCCCGCGCGUCUUGCUGGUCGGCUAAACUUUUCUUUAAGUCGCCCAACGUUGACUCGGCUUGGGCUAUAGAUUCCUGUCAACAUAUUUUGGAGGGACAAGUCUCAGAAUUGUUGCAAGCAACAUCCCUGACACUUGGGGGCUAAUGUAUAAUUUAAAAAAAAAACAAAAUUAUACCACAAGCAAGACCCGACUCAUCUUUCAAUAGAUGACCCGACCCUUGGGGGUUACGGGUCAAAGAUUUUUUAUACAUCAAGACCCGGAUCAUCUUUCAAAAGAUAACCCGGCCCUUGGGGGUUACAGGUCGAAGAUUUUUUCUACAUCAAGACCCGGCUCAUCUUUCAAAAUAUGACGGGGGUUAUAGGUCGAAGAUUUUUUCUAAGUCAAGACCUGGCUCAUCUUUCAAAAGAUGACCCGACCCUUAUGGGUUACAGGUCGGAAGAUUUUCUAACGCAAGACCCGGCUCAUCUUUCAAUAAGAUGACCCGGGCCUUGGGGGCUAAUGAGGAGGGUAUGCAUUAAGGCGUACCUCAUGUUUAUUCUUCAUCAUAUGGAGUAGGUUCUUCUCCAUUUCAUAACUUGUUUCUAGGCGACUUGCGAAGCCGGAGCAGAGUUCAUCAAACUCAAGUUUUUCAUAUUGAGGAAGUUUGGCCUUGGAGAUCUCAUGUCUGGUGGAAGGAUGGGACGAUGUUGAUACAUGCUGUGAUAAGAUUGCUGAAGCCGGCUUAGAGAAGACAGUACUAGUAAUGACCACAACAUCAGGAUCUUCAGCCGCCUUCAACGGACUUGGCGGGUUGGUUGUUUCCAUGCCUUCCUUGGGAGAACUUGGAAGGUCAAUUCGGUCAUCAGUAUAUCUUUUGUCGGGUCAACAUGAGCCGGUGCUGGGUCUUCUUUAAGCUGUGGGGCAGAAGGAGUGGAAGUUGGGCCGCCGGUUUUCCUCUUCUUUGCUUGCGCUCUAAGAAAAAUAGGGUCAUGUUUAAAGCAAGCAUCAUUAUCAUCAGGAAAGACAUAAGUAUUAUAAGGACUUACCAUUGUACGCGAAUCAUUGGCGGAAGGGCCGACAUCACUGAGUAGCCCGAUGAAGGGGGGAAAGUCUGCAAAAGUAAUAUCUCAAAAUAUGAGCGAGUUACAAGUGUGAUCCAAUAGAAAACAAAGGUAGAAAUUGAUAGAGGGUACCUCCUUUCGCCGUUUCUUGGUAGGGGUUUUUAUUGGUAACCCGAACAUCAAAUCCACUGAGUGGCUUCGAGUUUUCCGAAAGGAAGUGUGUUGCGACUUCUUCAAGAGGAAAUUAGGGUCUAGACAAGCAUUCGGGUGAGACAUGGGAACUUUCCCACAAACUCGCCUGGCCGACUUAGGCGAAGGAGAAGUUGAGUCGGAAGAAAUGGAAAUUACCUCUACGGCGUCAUCCUGGCUUUCGUUAUCAUCAUUCUAUACAUGGAAAUGCAGAGAUAUAAGCACAAAUUAGAGUAAAAGUGCGUCAAGACAAAAAGGAUAAAAUUUUACCUCUGAAGACGCUUCGCCGACUUGGGAUUCGUCCACAUCAGACGAUUUGGCGACAGCGGCUUGGUUUUUACCCUUGGACUUCUUUUUAGGAGGCGAUUUGGUUUGCUUCAGGGCAAGCUUCUUCGGCCUUCGUGACCAGAAUCGGUCGCCCUUCUGAGGUGGAAUUAUCAUUAUGCAAGUCAGAAUCCGGGUAAGUUGNNNNNNNNNNNNNNNNNNNNNNNNNNNNNNNNNNNAAAGAGUGAACCAAGGGCGGGCCAAAUUAUUUACCUUAGGAGCCGGGUUAAUCUUGCAAAAUGGCCUAAGCCCUAUUUGGCUACAUUUGGCCAAAGGCUCGCCGGUUUGCUUCUUGAUGAUGCUCACAAUGUCUUCCUCUGUGAGUGCUAUGUGGAAGUAGCAUUGAGGAUGGUUCAAAGUACCAGCAAACUUGCACAUCAAGCCGUCUAGGCGACUCAAGGGAAGGAUGUGCCAUUCCACCCAGCAGCGGAUCAGAUCAACUCCAGUAAGACCAAUGUUUGUUAAAGAUCGUAACUCGGAUAGCACUCGAAUGAAAUCUGAUUCAUCUUCUUCGGUGAGCUUGUCAGGAAGUUUGAAGUUUGUGGGCAGACGCUCCUUCCUGUAGCCUAGGAGUUUGUUCUCACCCAGAGGAGAAGUGUCCCGAUAAUAAAACCAAGACUCGGCCCAGCCUUUGGGGUGGCUGGGCAUGGCGAGUGAUGGGAAUGGACUGUCCUUGCGUUGUUGAACAUUAACCCCUCCAAGUUCUAAGCUAGGGCCAUUGGAGAACUCGGUCUGGCGAUUCAGGUGGAAGAAAUACCAAAACAAAGUGACCGACGGUUCCAUUCGUAGGUAAGCUUCACAGAAUACCUGGAAUUAGCACAUGUUGCUGAUCGAGUUGGGGCCCAGGUCUUGUAGGCAGAUGUUCAUAAAAAACAUAGCAUCUCUGAGGAACUUUGACCCUGGCUGCUAAAACCCUCGUUCGAGGUGGUCAGCAUAAACAACUAUUUCCCCUUCGGCCGAGUUGGGAAUUUCGUCGCCUAGUCCAGAUCGUCAUCCAAUGACUUCCUACGGGUCAAGGUUCCAUGUAUUUACGCACUGCUCGAGGAAGGUGUCGUCAAUUUUGGUCGGGAGCCAGUCGGCCUUAAAAACGGUACCCAUAGCUACAGAGGAAAAGGUCAUGGGUAAGUUAACCCGCCAAAACGCUUGUCGAGUGGUUGGGAGAAUCUAUUAACUGGCCAACAAGGGACCAGGUUUGGGCACGAGGGCGAUUUAGGAAUUUCCCAUUACUCACAGGAGGUACCUCAGGGCAUCAAAAACAUGCAGAAAAAUGACGAGGCAUGAAUCUACAAACAGUCUUCUACAUAGCAAGCAAUGCAACGGGGAUGUGCGAGCAAGGUAAAAUAACGGAGAAAACCUGGAUAAAGUGAAACAGAUCACGGUUGAAAGCAACUACGGCAGGGGUGAUUUAACCAAAGCCCUCUUGGUUCUCUAAACCGAAAUUAAAUGGAUUGGAGAUGUGGUCGGUGCUAAUAUGCUAAGCUACCACAUUGGAUCGAUUGGCAAACGCCGAGGAGUUCAAGGAGUUCUAGGGCGCAGCGAAUGGCGAACGUUGAAAGGCUCGGAUCUGUUCGUAAUGGUGGAAGACUAACCUGUUAAACAACGUCCGGAGGCGAUUGUACAGACCCGCGGUGGAGAUGGUGUGCCCGUUUAGCUCGACGAUGCGACGGACGCAGUGGCCGACGGCGGAGACCCUCGGGCGACGAUGGAGCUCGUCGGGCGGCGGCGGAGUUCCUUGUGUGGCUUCGAGGAAGAAGAAGAAACAGAAGAAGAAUGGGCAAAGAUUCCCUCUGCCCCCAUUCUCGAGCCUAUUUAAUAGGUCAGGUGCGGGGAUCAAGGCGCCUCGCGCAGGAACCGAAGGGGGCAAAUUAAAGAUUCGCACUUAUGGCUCCAAUAUUUUCGGGAUAUUUGCGCCGAGAGAUCCGUUGGGGAUUGCGUCAUCAUUUUCUGGAAUUAAAGGGAUAAGGUGACGUCACCGUAAACGGUUCGGCGACUUGGGUAUUUCCAUGGUGGAUGGCGGCUUAAGCGUAUGGUGCACGAGAAAGGUGGAAUGAGUCGUUCCUAAAGUAGGUAAAAGUUUAUUGGCGUGAACAGGUUCAAGUCAAUAUGGGGCCUAAUGNNNNNNNNNNNNNNNNNNNNNNNNNNNNNNNNNNNNNNNNNNNNNNNNNNNNNNNNNNNNNNNNNNNNNNNNNNNNNNNNNNNNNNNNNNNNNNNNNNNNUAAGUCAUCAGGGAGUCUUCGAGUCUUGGAAAGCACGGCGAUUUAGAAACUAAAGGAAUCACGACUUGUGUUAUGGCAAGGACUCUUGUAAACCCUAGGGCCUCGACCUGUAUAUAAAGGCGAGCCCCUGGAGAGGGGAGGUCAGGUUAGAAAUCAUCGAGAGCUAGGUCAGGCGAGUUACGCCCUCCUUGUAAUCGAAACAUCAUCAAUACAACACUAGAAGGACAUAGGCUUUUACCUCACCACGAGGGGCCGAACCUGGGUAAAACCGAGUCCCUCUUCCACUCAAACCCCUUUGAGUCGCCACCAAGGUGCGAUGGCUCCAUCAUUAAGUCCUUUCACUAGGAAAUCUGCCGUGAGAAAACCACGACAAUAACCAUGGAGGCCAUCAUUCCAAUGGAGGGAGUUUGCAUAAUCAUAAUGGCCCCAAGAAUGGGAAUGGGAAUGGAGGAAGCAACGGACAGAACCGUUCCAACCCAGCAACGCCCGCCAAGAAGGAUCUAAGUCACAUUAGUUGUUUUUAGUGCGGGAAUAAUGGACAUUACGCCAUGGAGUGUCCUAAAGCAAAGAAUGGAAAUGGCAAUGGAAGCUCUGGGAAUAAGCCCAACCCUUUCAACAGGGGACAAGUGAACCAUGCUAGCAUGGAGGAGGUUGAAGCGCAACCCGAUUCAGUACUAGGUAAGUUUUUGGUUAGGUCAUUUACUGCAAUCGUUCUUUUCGAUACUGGAUAAGUAUAACCUGCCAACCCAAGCCCUUAGGUCACCCAUGUUAGUAACCUCGCCAGGAGCAGAGUACAUGGCUAGCCUAUGGUGUGAUCUGUUACCAUUAAGGAUUGGUAACUACGUGUUCCCCUCAGACCUAAUAGUAUUGGAGUCACAAGGACUGGAUGUAAUAUUAGGUAUGCAUUGGUUAUUGAAGUAUGGAGGGAACAUUGACUGCGCCAGUAAGUCGAUUUUUCUCACCAGCCCAGAAGGAAGAAGGAUUAAGUAUGUAUCCCGGCAUGUGCCGAAGAGAACUCUAGUAAAUUCCUUAUCAGGAGUUGUACAGGAGGAAGUACUAGUGGUGAAGGAUUUCCCUGAUGUAUUCCCAAAGGAGUUGCCAGGCAUGCCACCAGACAGAGACAUUGAGUUUUUGAUUGAGCUUUUGCCAGGCACAGGGCCAAUAUCUAAGAGACCGUAUCGGAUGCCCGCAAAGGAUUCGGAAACAAUUAAGAAAUAGAUUAAGGAGUUACUGGAUAGAGGCUAUAUUCGCCCAAGUUCGUCACCUUGGGGAUCACAAGUGCUUCUAGUGGAGAACAAGGAUGGAUCGUUGAGAAUGGUAGUGGAUUAUCGAGGAUUGAAUGAAGUGGAAAUGAAGAACAAGUAUCCACUGCAAAUGAUCAAUGAUUUGUUUGACCAAUUGCAAGGAGCUAAAUUAUUCUUCAAGAUCGAUCUGCGAUCACGAUACCACCAGCUAAAGGUUUGAGAGCAGGAUAUACCUAAGACAGCUUUUACCACAAGGUAUGGGCUAUAUGAGUAUACCGUUAUGUCAUUUGGUCUCACUAACGCACCUGCCUAUUUCAUGAACAUGAUGAACAAGGUGUUUAUGGAGUUUUUGGAUAAGUUCGUCGUGGUGUUCAUUGAUGAUAUUCUGGUCUACUCGAAGAAUGAAGAGGAGCAUAAGGAGCAUUUGUGUUUGGUACAUGGGAAACUCCGAGAACAUCAGUUAUAUGCGAAGUUCAGCAAGUGUUAGUUUUGGUUGAAGGAAGUUGGUUUCCUUGGACAUGUUAUAUCCGAAGAAGGAAUAGCAGUAGACCCCACCAAAGUUGUCACAGUGACUAAUUGGGAACCACCCACGUCAGUUGGAGAGAUCUGGAGUUUUCUUGGACUCGCAGGAUACUACCGGAGAUUCAUUGAGAAUUUCUCUAAGAUUGCAAAGCCCAUGACGGAGUUGUUGAAGGACACCAAGUUCAAAUGGACUGAGGAAUGUGAAGCCGGUUUUCGGGAGUUGAAGAAACGCUUGGUUACAGCCCCACUGCUGAUUCUCCCCGAUCAACGCAAGGAUUAUCAAGUGUAUUGCGACGCUUCUCGUCGAGGACUUGGAGCAGUGUUGAUGCAGGAGGGAAGAGUUGUUUCGGAUGCCUCAGGACAGCUUAAACCCCAUGAGUUGAACUAUGCUACCCAUGAUUUGGAGUUAGCAGCCGUAGUGCAUGUGUUGAAAAAGUGGAGACAUUUUCUCACCGGAAACCACUGUGAGGUGUACACAAAUCACAAGAGUUUGAAGUAUACUUUCACACAGAAGGAGUUGAAUCUUAGACCAAGGAGAUGUUUGGAGCUCAUCAAGGAUUUUGAUAUGAGGUUGCACUAUCAUCUCGGAAAGCCUAAUGUAGUAGUCGAUGCGUUGAGUCGCAAAAGUCAUGUCAAUACACUCAUGACCAGAGGAUUACCUGAGGAGUUAGCAGAAGAUCUUCGCGAGCUAUGGUUGGAAAUAGUUUCGAGAGGUUAUGUACUAGCAUUGGAGAUUCAGUCUACCCUGAUGGAUAAGAUUAGAGAAGCCCAGAAGACUGACAAAGAGAUUGCCAAGAUAAAGGAAAGGAUGAGCAAAGGAAAGGCUAAAGGAUUUCGUGAGGAUGAGCACGAUACCUUAUGGUUGAGGAUCGCGUAUAUGUGCCUAAUGACCCCGAGAUCAGGAAGUUGAUUCUGCAGGAGGCCCACGAUUCACCGUAUUCGAUUCACCCAGGAAAUACCAAGAUGUAUCUGAAUUUGAAGGACAGUUUCUGGUGGACCGGAAUGAAGAACGAUAUUGCGGAGUAUGUAGCAGUUUGUGAUGUAUUUCAGAGAGUGAAGGCGGAGCAUCAGAAGCCAGCAGGUUUGCUACAACCAUUGCAGAUACCCGAAUGGAAGUGGGACAACCUAGGAAUGGAUUUUAUAACGGGAUUGCCCAGGACUCGUUCAGGCUAUGACUCGAUUUGGGUUAUAGUCGAUCGUUUGACGAAGGUAGCUCAUUUCAUCCCAGUAAAGACCGCUUACACCAGUGCUAAGUUGGCAAAGAUAUACAUGACCAGGAUCGUAUGUCUGCAUGGAGUUCCGAGGACCAUUAUAUCAGAUAGAGGAACCCAGUUUACCUCAUAGUUCUAGAAUCAGUUGCAUGAAACGUUGGGUACCAGGCUAGAGUUUAGUACAACCUUUCAGCCUAAGACAUAUGGACAGACCGGGAGAGUCAAUCAGAUUUUAGAGGACUUGUUGAGAGCUUGUGCGCUAGAUUAUGGAUCUAGUUGGGACGACAAUUUGCCGUAUGCAGAGGUAUCUUACAAUAAUAGCUAUCAAGCCAGUUUGAAGUUGGCCCCUAUCGAAGCCUUGUACGGAAGGAGGUGCAGGAUACCGUUGUUAUGGGAUGAAGUUGGAGACCAUCAGUUGUUUGGACGGGAUUUGAUUAAGGAGUCUGAAGAGAAGGUUAAGUUUAUUCGCGAUAGACUCAAGGUAGCCUAGUCCAAGCAGAAGAGUUAUGCGAAUUCAAAACGCAACGAGACAAUUCAUGAAGUUGGAGACAAAGUUUAUCUUUGUGUGUCCCCACUUCGAGGUGUUAAGCAUUUUGGAGUUAAGGGAAAGUUAUCACCAUGUUUUGUGGGACCAUAUAUAGUUUUGGAGCGUAUGGGAGAAGUUGUUUAUAGGUUGGAAUUGCGAGAAGGAUUGUCAGGAGUUCCUGAUGUGUUCCAUGUUUCCCAGUUGAAGAAGUGCCACACAGAUAUGGCCAAUAUUCCUGUAAGAGAUACAGUGCCACUGGAAGCGAUUUAGUUGGAUAGCGAUUUAACUUACGAGGAGAAACCAUUGAAGAUUCUCGAGUUUGCCAGCCGAGUCACACGCAUCAAGGUUAUCAAGUUCUGCAAAGUUCAAUGGAGCCACCAUACCGAGGAUGAAGCCACCUGGGAAUGAGAAGAAGACCUACGGUAGGAUCACCCACACCUAUUCUCUAGCCAACCCGAAUCUCAAGGGCGAGAUUCAUCUGAAGGGGGUAGGUUUGUAACAUCCCGAAUUUUCAAUUUGGAAUGUUAUGCAUUAGAUCAUCAUUGCAUAUCAUAUUUUAUUGCAUUCUUGGUUGAUCCUAGAAAUUCUACGCAACUCAAGGACCCACGGAGAGUGUUGGGGAAUUUUCUAUUUUCAUAAUUGAGUUUUCCCAAAUUUUGAAAAGAGGAUCAUUCGGUUUUAAUUAUUUUCUCUUCAAAUAUUUCUAAAUAUAAAAUAAAACAGAGGGGAUAAAAUGACUUCCCCCAAAGAAAGAAAUAUUGGUGGAAAAAUAUUAAAAUCAAAUAGGAAUUUUAUUCAGAGUUUUAUUGCUAUUUUAUUUCAAUUAGAAAAAAUCCGUUUUUCAAAAUUGCAUUAGAGGCCCCAAUAAAUGUUCACCUUGUUCGUCAUAUUUUUAGAGGACGGGGAAAAUUUAUUUCAAGACUUUUGGAGUCUGUUUGAUAUUUCUUUUUAUUUAUCUUCUCCGCAUCGGAAUUAUUUAAAAAAAAGUCAAACCAUUUAAACGGGCCAUGUCCGACCGGGACUCUAUCCCGUCGGCCUUUAUAAGCCCAGCCGAGGCGCCCCGGAAACCCUCGUCGCCGCGCCGCUCAGCCGCGCCGCCGCCGCGCCGCCCAGCCGCCUCGCCGCCGUGCCGCCUCGCCGCCCCAUCGCCGACCCCGCCCUGAGGUAACCGGGUUUUUUAAAUAAAACCCUAGAUUUAUUUUUAGAUCAGUUUUAUUAUUUUAUUUCCGGUUUAUUUAAUUAGCGUACGUUCGUCUGUACGUUCGUUUUAACGAACGAUGUUCAUCCGUUAGCCGCAGACAGCGAACGUUCGUUCGUUAGCCUGUUUGUCAGUUUUUAUUUUUCCAUGGAUUUUCCACGAUUAUUUCUGAUCGCGAUUUCUGGACUGAUUUUCGUUUUAGUUUAUCUUUUCGCUCGUUUAUCGGAAUCAGGUGGUUCAAACGCCCAGAUCUUUUUCUCGAAACCCUCUUUCUGUUUAACCAACUUGAACAAGAUUUUUGUACUGUAAAAGUUGACUCUAGUCCAAAUUAGUAAACAAACUUGUUUCUUUCGCAGUUUGAGUUUCGCUGCUUCAUUUGUUUUGAUUCUUUUUGCAAACCGGAGUUCUUCAGUUGAACUUUCUGGUUAGAUCUCUUAUCUGAGUUUUCCCCGUGCAUCUAGUUUGAGUGCUUAUGUAUGUUAUUGUUUGUUUACGAUAGAGUACCCGGAGUGCGAAGCGUGCUACUAGUCUCUAGGUUUUGUGGAUCAUCAGCAAGGCAACUAACCCUUUGAUCAUACCUCUUUACUACCAAGUUUUAUUGCAUCAGAUCAACCCUCAACAUUGCAUGGUUAGGAUAUGAUUAACAUGUGGGUUUUGGGAAGUAGAUGAUGAGGUAGAACCUAUUGUCCUGUUUAUUAUCAAAUCUUUGGGAGUUACUUCUACGAUUUGCUUAUUGCUAUGCUAUGCUCGUUGACGUGGAUUGGGUGAGUGUAUCCAUGACAGAUGUGAGUAUUGUUAAUUAAUUGUUCACUUAAGGUGGCUACUUGAAUACACAUCUGGGUGGAUUGCUUGAGGCACCUUGGGGUACCCAGUGGUCGUCAGGGCACCUGGAGAAAUCCAGUGUUGUCCUAGGAUAUCACGGAGUAACCGUGUGAUCAUCCUACGGUCCGGCACACAGGCUCAAACGAAUCAUAAGAUUAUUCAUUCUAGAAACUUCCGUGGGCAGCCACAAGCCAUUAUGGGCUCUGGCAUAGUUGAGUAAGUUGCGUGAAGCUCUUGAAGCGGUAGACUAGCAGAUGUAGUGGGUUGUAGGUGGUACGGUCUACCGAGAGUAGAGAGUUAAUGCUUCAGAAAGACUAUGUCUUGAAUCUCUGACCAUGGAUGUAUUCGAGUCUUGUGGGAAAAGUGUGCAAACCUCUGCAGAGUGUAGAAACUAAUCAUCGUUAGCCGUGUCCCCGAUUAUAGACAUCUUGAGUAUCUGGUUCCUGGAUUAUCAUGUUGAUCUCAUCACUCUAAAUAAAUUUGUUGGGUUUAAUGAUGAUGCUUAAUUGGGAUUGAGNNNNNNNNNNNNNNNNNNNNNNNNNNNNNNNNNNNNNNNNNNNNNNNNNNNNNNNNNNNNNNNNNNNNNNNNNNNNNNNNNNNNNNNNNNNNNNNNNNNNGGUUGCCUUCAUUUUAUGGAAAGCAAUGUAUUUGUGAACAAUGAUAUCAAGAUUUUUCAAGGAAUAAUUUGGAUACCUUUCCUAUAUGUCUUUCCACAAAGUAUGAGCACACUCAAAGUUUUGCAACUGAUUAAUCACGUUUCUUGGUAAACCUCUAAUGAUAAGAUUGACGGUGUUGAGGUUGCCAAGCAUGUUAACUUCAUCAUCAUGAGAAGGAUCUAUGGGGUCAAUGGGAGGUGCAUAGGGAUAUUCAAUAUACUUGCGCAAAUGGAACUCAUCGAAUAUGUCAAGCUUUUCGUCUUUCCAUUGUCUAAAGUACUCCCCAUCAAAAAUAGGCACUCUACAACUAAAAAUCUAAGAACUAGUCACAUUCAUCUUCCUCCAAUGGCUGUUAAACCAAGGUUUUGGUGACCUUGCUCUGAUACCACUUGAGGGAUCGAUAUAAGAUGUCUCUGGGGGGGGGGGAAUAUGCUACUUGUCAAGAUAAAAUUUCUAGCCUAGCCAAAUUUCUAGGAGGGCAGAAAUCUAGCAGUUCUAACAAGUCCACAUACCCUACACAAGCAGUUCUAAGAGUCUAGCAGCGGAAAGUAAAACAUGCAAGUGUAAAGUAGAGGAGAAGGGAAGCAAGAUCAAACGCAUGGGGUUGACACGAUAAUUUUUGGCAUGGUUCCGAUAGGUGGCGCUAUCGUACGUCCAUGUUAGUGGAGACUUCAACCCACGGAGGGUAACGGCUGCGAGAGUCCAUGGAGGGCUCCACCCACGGAGGGUCCACAAAAAAACAGCUUUGUCUAUCCCCCCGAGGCUUCCUUCCACGGAGGACUAGUGUUACUCACGGUAGAUAUUCAUGAAGUAGGAGAUAUCCUUGCCCUUACAAACAUCUUUGUUCAACUCCACAACAUGAAGUAGGAGGCUCCCAAGCGAGACCUAACCAAUCUAGGAGGCACCAUGCUCCAAAAGGUAAUAUAUGUGGUAGAUCAAUGAACUCCUUGCUCUUGUGCUUAUAAAGAUAGUCUCCUCAACACAAAUAUCUCUCUCACAGAAUAUGCAUGGGUAGGAGAGGUUGACUUGGUGGAAAGCAGUUUGGGGAGGCUAGAGAUCAAUAUUCAAAUGAUUGGAUUGGAAUAUUUUGGAAUAUUCAAGGUAAUAUGUUGGUGACACCGAAUUUGUGAAUGUGGAACUUUAUAGAGUGGAUAUGUGGGAACAAUGACCGAGUGUUUUGGUGGCUAACUUUGAGCAUUUGAGCAAUCAGUUCAUUUUACUACCUCACCCGCUUUUAAUAGUAUUGGCUUUCCUAUGGACUCCAAAGUGAUUUCUCACAAGUAUGAAAUGAAGAGUCUUCUAGCUUGAAGCUUGAGCCAAUAUUAUUCCUUUCUUGCAUCCAGGGGCAUCUCCACAUAAACCUUAAGCCAUAGCUCUUCAUGGACUAAACCUGAAAUAUCUAGGUAAAAGUAUUAGUCCAAGAGGCAAUGUAUGUUGUCAUGAAUUAUCAAAAUCACCAAGGGAGUAUCUGUGCUUGCAAUGGUGUUGCAAUACGUUCUUGAUUCUCUUAUAGUGGGUGGCUAGAGUGACACAAGAUUACACCCGAGUAAGGGGGUUGUUGCGUAUGGUAGUAAAUGGGAAUUGAUGUUUACUGCUAUUGUUGGGUUUACCUUAAUGAUUUCUUGGAUUUGCGGAUUCUUGCUAGAGGUCCAAUCAUAAGUUCAUAUGAUCCAAGUAUGAAAACUAUGUUAGCUCAUGCCUCUCCGACAUAUAAAAUUGCAAUAAUGAUUACUGAUCUUGUUAUCAAUUACCUUGGAAAAUUCCGCACACCAUACCAUAAUUAUUCCACCCUUGCUUUUUUUAAUAUAAUAUAAUAUAUGCUAAAUUAUUUAGGCAUCAACUAUUUUUCAUAUUUUAGUUCUCCAAUAUCAUGCAAAGCUAUCCUCUUUAUACCUAGAGCACAAUUUUAUUUCUCCUUUCUAGUUAGAAGCAACUAGUGUGUGUACAUGGAGUUGUAUUAGUCGCAUAUAGGACUUGACAGAAUAUUGAUCUUACUUUUAGCUCCUUGUGGGUUUGACACUCCAUACUUACUACUUCCAUAUUUGGAAAGUGCUAUGAUGAUUCCUUGCACUUGGGGAUCAUCAGUCUCUAGUNNNNNNNNNNNNNNNNNNNNNNNNNNNNNNNNNNNNNNNNNNNNNNNNNNNNNNNNNNNNNNNNNNNNNNNNNNNNNNNNNNNNNNNNNNNNNNNNNNNNCUCACUUUGCAAACAAUCUAUAAGGGAUUGACAACCCCUUCAUAGUGUUGGGUGCAAGCUCUUUGUGUUUGUGCAGGUACUUGUGACUUGACUCGAUCCUCCUACUGGAUUGAUACCUUGGUUCUCAAACUGAGGGAUAUACUUACCGCCGCUGUGCUACAUCACCCUUUCCUCUUCAAGGGAACACCAACGCAAGGCUCCAAGGCCGCGGGGCUACAUCACCCUUUCCUCUUCAAGGGAACACCAACGCAGGGCUCCAAGGCCGCGAGGAAAUCCUUUGCAUAUUUGCCAAGGAAGUCCAUAUAGGCGUAGCCCGUAGCAGAAGGAUUCCUGGCGCCGUUGCUAGGGAAGGUCUUUUGUUGCCGUAGCAGUACCCUUGGAUAGCAAGGAUGGACGUCGUUCUUUUAUCGUUUGUCUUCGUACGUAGUCGGACCCUGCUCUUCAUCAUGAUGACUGUAUAUUGUUGUAUUGAUGUGAUCUUGAUGUAUCUUGUGGCAAGUGUAAGCCAACUCCUUAUACUUAUCUUUUCAGUACAUGUACUUGUAACGAUAUCCAUUCUUGCGAAACGGCGAGAUGUGUUUCAAUUCCUGUCGAGGCCCUCGCGCCAAAAUAAGGAUAGGACCGCAUCUUGGGUUUUACAAUGUGGCACUAAGAUAUAUUGUGAUGUGCUGACAAUUUGGUUAGUGGAACUAAUGCCAGUUUGUAGAGUUUACCUCGGGAUAUUGGUUUCACGGAGAUCCCAUUGGAGUUGUGUGACCACCCAUAAUAGGGGAUUUGUGGUGCGAGAGUUGCAACCUGAAAAGUGCAUGUGGCACUAAGAUAUAUAGUGAUGUGAUGACAAUCUGGUUAGUGGAACUAAUAUCAGUUUGUAGAGUUUAUCUUAGGAUAUUGGUUUCACAGAGAUUCCAUUGGACUUGUGUGACCCCCCACCAUUCAAAAAGGUCAAGUCGUAUUUACCGAUGACUCAAAGGUUUUUGUUGGUUUGAUUUGAGUCGUAUGAAAAUCGCACUAUCAAGAGGGGUCAUCAUGGAUGUGUCAUGUGUGAAUGCCUCCAAACUUAUACACCAGCCAUCCUACACCUACGACCAAGAAUCCACUUAUAAUGUGCUUUUUGAGGUGUCUUGUGAGCUUCAACAAAAACUCUCUCGACACCCGAGGUUCCACGAAACUCUCUUGACAUCCCAUGAUCACGGGGUCCUAGACCCUCGUGUGCACNNNNNNNNNNNNNNNNNNNNNNNNNNNNNNNNNNNNNNNNNNNNNNNNNNNNNNNNNNNNNNNNNNNNNNNNNNNNNNNNNNNNNNNNNNNNNNNNNNNNCCAAACAUUUUGAGUAUGUGCUCACUGACAGAACUGUUCUCCUCCAUCUUACAGCUAAAGAACUUGUCGGAGACUUCAUAUCUCUCGACACGAGCAUGAGCUUGAAAAACUAGCUUCAGCUCCUGGAACAUCUCAUGUGCUCCGUGUUGCUCAAAACGCCUUUGGAGCCCCGUUUCUAAACUGUAUAACAUGCCACACCUAACCAGAGAGUAGUCAUCACUCCGCGUUUGCCAGACGUUCAGAAUGCCCUGGGCUGCCGCGGGAGCGGGAGGGUCACCUAGCGGCGCAUCAAGGGCAUAAGCCUUUUUAUCUGCCUCAAGGAUGAGCUNNUAGCGGCGCAUCAAGGGCAUAAGCCUUUUUAUCUGCUUCAAGGAUGAGCUUCAAGUUGCGAACCCAGUCCGCAUAGUUGCUACCAUCAUCUUUCAGCUUGUUUUUCUCUAGGAAUGUGUUGAAAUUGAGGUUGACGUUGGCCAUCUACAAUAUUUAUAAAGACAAACCUUUUAGACUAAGUUCAUGACAAUUAAGUUCAUUUAAUCAAAUUAAGUAUGAACUCCCACUUAAAUCGACAUCCCUCUAGUCAUCUAAGUGAUACAUGAUCCAUGUUGACUAACCCGUGUCCGAUCAUCACGUGAGACGGACUAGUCACCAUGGUGAGCAACUUCAUGCUGAUCGUAUUCAACCAUACGACUCAUGUUCCACCUUUCGUGCUGAUCGUAUUCAACCAUACGACUCAUGUUCGACCUUUCGGUCUCUUGUAUUUGAGGUCAUGUCUGUACAUGCUAAGCUCGUCGAGUCAACCUAGGUGUUUCGCGUGUGUAAAUCUGGCUUACACCCGUUGUAUGCGAACGUUAGAAUCUAUCACACCCGAUCAUCACGUGGUGCUUCGAGACAACGAACCUUCGCAACGGUGCACACUUAGGGGAAUACGUUCUCGAAAUUUUAAGAGGGAUCAUCUUAUUAUGCUACCGUCGUUCUAAGCAAUAAGAUGAAAAACAUGAUAAACAUCACAAUACAAUCAUAUAGUGUCAUGAUAUGGCCAUUAUCAUCUUUGCUCUUUCGAUCUCCAUCUUCAGGCAUCGCAUGAUCAUCACCAUCACCGGCAUGACACCAUGAUCUCCAUCAUCAUGAUCUCCAUCAUCGUGUCUCCGUGAAGUCGUCACGCCAAUUACUUCUAUCACUACCACUAUGGCUAACCGUUAGCAAUGAAGUAAAAGUAGUAAGCACAUGGCGUUGCAUCUCAUACAAUAAAUUAAGACAACUCCUAUGGCUCCUGCCGGUUGUCAUACUCAUCGACAUGGAAGUCGUGAAACCUAUUACAAUAACAUGAUCAUCUCAUACAUCAUACAUGCAACAUCACAACUUUGGCCAUAUCACAUCACAUGUCAAACCGUGCAAAAACAAGUUAGACGUCCUCUAAUUGUUGUUGCAAGUUUUACGUGGCUGAUUUGUGUUUCUAGCAAGAACGCCUUCUUACCUAUGUGAAAGCCACAACGAUGAUAUGCCAAAGCUAUUUACCCUUCAUAAGGACCCUUUUCAUCAAAUCAAUCCGACUAGAGUAGGAGAGACAGACACCCGCUAGCCACCUUUAUGCACGGUGUGCAUGUCUGUCGGUGGAACCAGUCUCACGUAAGCGUACGUGUAAAGUCGGUCCGGGCCUCUNNNNNNNNNNNNNNNNNNNNNNNNNNNNNNNNNNNNNGGGCCUCUUCAUCCCACAAUACCACCGGUAAAGAAUAAGACUAGUAGCGGCAAGCAAAUUGACAAAUCAUCGCCCACAACUUUUGUGUUCUACUCGUGCAUAGAAUCUACGCAUAGAAAACCUGGCUCGGAUGCCACUGUUGGGUAACGUAGCAUAAAUUGAAAAUUUUCCUACGCAUAUUCAGAUCUUCCUAUGGAGAGACCAGCAACGAGAGAGGGGUAAGAGCAUCUUCAUACCUUUGAAGAUCGCUAAGCGGAAGCGUUGCUAGAACACGGUUGAUGGAGUCGUACUCGCAGCGAUUCCGAUCUAGUGCCGAACUACGGCACCUCCGCGUUCAACACACGUGCAGCCCGGUGACGUCUCCUGCACCUCGAUCCAGCAAGGAGGAGGGAGAGGUUGGGGAAGAACUCCAGCAGCAUGACGGCGUGGUGUCGAUGGAGAGACGAGGUCUCCCGGCAGGGCUUCGCCAAGCACGGGCAGAGAGGAGGAGGAAGAAGGGCAGGGUUGCGCCGAGAGAGAGGCAAAAGUCUAUCUCUCAAUGGCCAAAAGUGCCCGAUAUAUAUAGGGAGAUGGGAGAGGGGGUGCCACCCCUAGGGUUCCCACCCUAGGUGGUGCGGCAGCCCCCCCAGAUGGGAGGUGCGGCGGCCAGAGGGGGGAGGAGGGGGUGGCGCACCACCUGGUGGGCCUUAGGCCCACCUGGCUUAGGGUUUGCCCCUCUUUUCUCUCCCCUGCGCAUUGGGCUGAGUGGGGAGGCGCACCAGCCCACCUAGGUGCUGGUUCCCACCCCCACUUGGCCCAUCUUACCUCCCGGGGUCGUUGCCCCCCUUCGGUGGUCCCCCGGGGCCACCUCCGAUGGUCCGGGUGGUCCCGGUACGUUACCCGUUAUGCCCGAAACACUUCCGGUAUCCGAAACCAUCCGUCCUAUAUAUCAAUCUUUACCUCCGGACCAUUCCGGAGCUCCUCGUGAUGUCCGGAAUCUCAUCCAGGACUCCGAACAACUCUCGGUAACCUCGUAUAACAAUUCCCUAUAACCCUAGCGUCACCGAACCUUAAGUGUGUAGACCCUACGGGUUCGGGAGACAGGCAGACAUGACCGAGACACCUCUCUGGCCAAUAACCAUCAGCGGGGUCUGGAUACCCAUGGUGGCUCCCACUUUCUCCACGAUGAUCUCAUCGAAUGAACCACGAUGUCAAGGAUUCAAUCAAUCCCGUAUACGAUUCCCUCUGUCUGUCGGUAUAGAACUUGCCCGAGAUUCGAUCGUCGGUAUGCCUAUACCUUGUUCAAUCUCGUUACCGGUAAGUCUCUUUACUCGAUGCCCAUACGUUGUUCAAUCUCGUUACCGGUAAGUCUCUUUACUCGUUCCGUAGCACGUCAUCGUGUGACUAACUCCUUAGUCACAUUGAGCUCAUGAUGAUGUUCUACCGAGUGGGCCCAGAGAUACCUCUCCGUCACACGGAGUGACAAAUCCCGAUCUUGAUUCGUACCAACCCAACAGACACUUUCAGAGAUACCCGUAAUGCACCUUUAUAGUCACCCAGUUACGUUGUGACGUUUGAUACACCCAAAGCACUCCUACGGUAUCCGGGAGUUGCACAAUCUCACGGUCGAAGGAAAAGACACUUGACAUUAGAAAAGCUUUAGUAUGCGAACAAUACGAUCUAGUGCUAUGCUUAGGAUUGGGUCUUGUCCAUCACAUCAUUCUCCCAAUGAUGUGAUCCCGUUAUCAAUGACAUNNNNNNNNNNNNNNNNNNNNNNNNNNNNNNNNNNNNNNNNNNNNNNNNNNNNNNNNNNNNNNNNNNNNNNNNNNNNNNNNNNNNNNNNNNNNNNNNNNNNAGUCUACCUCGGUGUACUAAUUUUCAUAGUAGUAAGGAUGAAAUUAGCUGGAAGACAAAUGGUGUGUCACACAAAUCGUAUAUUUCAAGUCAAAGGUAUGAUUCAUAUACAAGGUGUGAUUCUACUGUGAGUACGAUUUGAAACAUGCUAUACCCCGAAGAAAGCUAGAAUGUGAUAUGAAUUCACUACUCAACAAGAAGGAUACCCGCACAAACUUUUUCAUACAAGUAUCCAGCAGUCGGAAUAUUAANNNNNNNNNNNNNNNNNNNNNNNNNNNNNNNNNNNAGCAGUCGGAAUAUUAAAGGGUAUAUAUAUGGUAGUAAGUCAACAUAUCCCAGAUAGAAGCUUCUACUGUAAGCAACCUAGUCUGCCCUCACAAGCUACCGAAGAAGCUUACAAUGCAUGAUUCCUCUACCUUCCUCAGUAUGAUACGUGGAUGAAUUCUCGUGCAAGAUACUCAUGCUUCUUCCGUAAGCUACUGCAAAAGCUUCUGGCAUAAGGUAUUGAGUCUUCCCUAGCAAGACUUUAAGGGGGGAAGCUUCUAAAGUACGGUACUCAAUCUUCUUCAACAAGCUGUCUGACAAAAGCUUUGAGCACAAGCUAUUCAACUCGAUACUCUCGAUGUCUUCCAAUGGAAGCCGUCCAACUUUCCUCAAUACGACACCGCUCCAAGAUAUUACACACUAAUAUGGUAAUAUAUGGCAGUACAUCCCAAGAAUCAAAUCCACAAUAGUUUGGUCAGAAGCUAGAAUCAAUCAGAACACAAGUCUACCUCAGGAAUCAAAUACUUCCAUAAACACUAUGAGCAUGCUACCAAAUUCAUGCAAGUCACUCGCACGAUGAUGAAAUAACGGUAAGAAUCCAACAACCUCACGAGUUACGCAAGAGUAAAAAGUGAGUUAUACACUUCAGGGAGUGAUGCAGGGACCGACCAACUUUGUUGAAAGAUAGCGUGAGAAAAUUAUUUUUGGCAGUGCAUAUCCAGGCCAAACAUGGUGAUAUCGUUAACCCUUAUCACGAGCUUGUAUGAUGGACGACAACAAUGAGCUCUCUACAAGCACAUGUGAAUCUAGCAUAUAUCCUAUGGCCCGAGUCGUGAACAAGGCCAAUGUAUGAUGGCCAAAAUAUUGCAUAUGACAGCACCUCUGGUCACAAGAAUUGAAGAUAUAUAUGUGGACAAGAUCCUUCGGCAAAAGGAUCCACACAAAGAAACCAAUAAUGAAGGAGCGAGACCGUCAAUACAAAUAUGCCACUUGUUGCUUGACCAACAAGGUAGAGAUACCAGGACGGUCAGGUUUAGUAUUGUUUACCAUUGACUAUCCACCUAAGGGGUCUACUCCAUCUGUAAGGACCUCAUAUCAAGAUAACCCGCUCAACCAACAUUAUCUGCUCAAAACUGCUAGUAUCGACUAUCCAAGUCUAUCACGUAAAACAAAAGGCCAGCUCAACAGAUUAAAUUCAAUAACCGUGUUAAAGCAUGACAAAUCCUACUAUCCACAAGAAUAUAGCAACCGAAUAAGAAUGUAGUAUGCUAAACAACAGUCUCGAAGCAUGUGCCCUCGCAUAGGGGAAUCAGUUAAAGGAUAGCCUGCCAAGAACAAGAUGCUUCUGUCAGAACCAACGUCUGUUAAGUCUCGAGAUGCUACUAUUAUAAGGCUAUACUCCUUUCUACUGGUCACAACAAACGACAGUCAGACCUUUGGUAUGAAUCUGGUACUCAAGACAGUGGAAAUAUCCAAGAUGAUGAAGGAAUACGAGUGAGAAGUCACACNNNNNNNNNNNNNNNNNNNNNNNNNNNNNNNNNNNNNNNNNNNNNNNNNNNNNNNNNNNNNNNNNNNNNNNNNNNNNNNNNNNNNNNNNNNNNNNNNNNNCUUGGAUAAAAUAGGUCAUUCCGGAGCAAACUAUGCUUAUUAAGCCAGUUUGGAUCUAGCUAGGCUAAUUAUAGGCCAUUUAAUACCUAAAUUAGAGGGAAUUGGUCAUCUUACAACUACGUAAGCCUUAUUAUGUUAUUUAGGAGAGAACUUAGCUAACUGUAGGUCAUUUUUUAUUAAAUAGGUCAUUUUGGAGCUAACUAAGCUAAUUAUGUCAUUUCGUAGGAUAAUUAGCCAAUUUAGCCUUUCUUAGAUGAGUCUAAGCUACGUAGAAGAAGAGAAAGAGAAGAAGAAGUAAAAGAAGGAGGAGGAGGAGGAGGAGGAGAAGGAGAAGGAAGAGGAGAAGAAGAAGAAAAGAAGAAGGAGAAGGAGAAGGAGGAAGAAGAAGGAGAAGGAGGAGCUCCUUCUCCUUCUUCUUAUCCUCCUCCUUCUCCUUCUUCGUAGGAUAAUUAGCCAAUAUAGCCAUUUUGGAGCUAACUAAGUUAAUUAUGUCAUUUAGAUGGAAGUCUAGUUAUUUUUUAUUAAAACACNNNNNNNNNNNNNNNNNNNNNNNNNNNNNNNNNNNNNNNNNNNNNNNNNNNNNCUAGAAAUAACAUAACAUUAUCGUCAUCACAGCGGUGAAGCACGGUGGCUCUGGCUUGUUUCACCUGGAGAAGGCUGCCAUGGAGAAGGCUCGACUGUAGAAGGGUCGUGCGAUGCUUUUUGGGAGAUAUUCUGCACCAAACAUCAUUUGCAAUGUGUAGUUAGCAUGAGGACACUCUUAAGAUCACUGCACUGAAAUGAAACUCACCAUCCCCGCCACGUUAAUGACUGGCAUCGGCGGAGGGACUUGGUCGCUCUUCUCGCACAUAGACUGUACAUUUGGUUUCGACAAGUCAAACUUUUUAUUUAUUAAUGAAACGGACAUUCAAAUGCAAGAUUUGAAAUAACAUGAAGAAGAAACUUACCACGAAGAGCUCGUAUAUGGCCCUGUUAGACGCAUCAUUCCGUGCCCUCUCCGCCUCCACCAAUGCAGUCGUCCUCUCCUCCAGCUCCCUAAUUUCCUUAUCCUUCUCCGCCAUAGCCGCCUGCAUUGCCUCUCUCUCUUUCUGAAUAGCAGCCUGCAACACAACUCGUUGUUAGCAAUGUAAUCAUAUUGGUUCCAACGCACAACAUAAUGCGGAAAGAUAGUUGAGUCCAUUAAACUAACCUCGAUGGUGAGCUCGAGGUCGUGGAUGACGUGUUAUCUCCGUACAAGAGCUCGUUUGGCAUGCCUUUAUCUACCGGAGAGUGCUAGGACAACGUAUAAGGUCGUCUCCAAUGGAGAUCGAGCCAUGGGGCCUCCCGUUGCCAGCUAUCAUCACCAGCUCUGGAUCAAUAGGCCCCCCGCUCGGGUUAAAGUCCUCCCCUUUCCUCGCCUUCCCGUGAUCUCUGUACUUCACGAGCUUGUGGUGGGAGGCGAUGUUGGUGAAGUUUUCUGGAUGCUUGUGGUGGGAGGAGAUGUUGGUGAAGUUUUCUGGAUGCUCGAGGUCAGACUCAGAGAAUGCCUUGACCUUCUUUUACGAGGCAGUAUGGGCCAUCGCAUACAGGUCGUACAUCUGUGGCACCUCCGUCUUAUUGUGAUGCGACUAAAAGAGAGAGAGAGGAAAUUGUAUUCGUAGAGGGCUCAAGAUAGCAUUAAGAAUGAACUGCAUGAGGCAUGAAGCAAACCACAUACCGAGUUCUCGCCAAAUUGGAUUAAGUUGAUGCUCCCUUGAUGGUGUGGNNNNNNNNNNNNNNNNNNNNNNNNNNNNNNNNNNNNNNNNNNNNNNNNGGCACGCCAACCAUUUUGCCACGCCUCUCCUUGGCGUUGUUGUGGCUGGCCUCCCAUGUUUCGGAGCACCACUGGUCCACCAAUGCCUCCCAACAAUCCAUCUUAUCCACACACCAUCUCGGGGGCACCUAAGUUAAUAAAGAGAAAUUUGAGCGCGUAAGAACCAAAUCAAGGAAACUAACUACAAAGCCUUAAUAAUAUGUAAUUACCUUCAUGUAAUUCUCCUUCUCCAUCUUAGCGUCACGGCACUUCGCCUUGUCAAUCCUAAUACGCCACGUGGCAUAGUAGUCUCGAACACCCUGCACCCGAGCCUCGUGCCGAAAGUUUUGAAGUAGGCGGCGACAUUCGGUUUCGAUAACCUUUGUUGCGUCCUCCUCGUAUCCCUCGUCACACCUGUAGUAGGUCUGCAAACGAGGCAACACCGAUUAGUACAAUAAAUAGCUAUGGUUGAUUUAUAAUUGUGUGAAGGAGAAAUUACCCAGAACUUUCGGAUCACCAUGUCCGCCCUCGUGUCGCACAAAACACCGUCGAUCUCCACCUCCGGCGGGGCCGGGGCACCCAAGUAGUGCUCCCAGGUCAUUCCUACCUCUCGCUCCCGACCGGGAAACGUAACAAACCCUGGGAAGUUUUUACGGCAAAGCGCACCAAGGACGCUGUUGGGUUUGCGGACCCCCUUGGCAACAAUCCAACCCCUACAGUAUGACAAAUUAAAGACAAAACAUUAGAUAUUUGGGAAAACGCGAAGGCAAAAGGUUAAAUAAGAGUAAAUUAACUUACUUGUCCCCAUUUGGCCUAAUCGACCACCUGUGCUCGGGGUUCGCUGGCACGAGCGGGAGCCCCGAACUACCACACUGGUAGACAAUAGCCCCCUCACCUAUCUCCUCGUCGCUACCAGCAUCCGACUAGGUCUCUUANNNNNNNNNNNNNNNNNNNNNNNCAUCCGACUAGGUCUCUUAGGACGUACCCUCAUCCCUUCUUUGCUCCGGAGUCGCCUGGAAUGAAGCCUCUGGGACACGAGUCUCAUGGGUCGAAGGCUCGUCGACCUAAGGCUCGUCGACCCGAGGCUCGUGCACUGGAUAUAGUGUAGCCUCCACCUCAGACGAAUCCACCCUAGAAGUCCUGUGCUUAGGUGAAUCAGCGUGGGGUGGUGGCGAAGACCGUGUAGCCGCCACCUCAGAAGGCGUGGCAGCCACCGCCCUACCUCUCCUGCGGCCACGUGUACCUUUAGUACUACAUAAAUACCAACAUGAGUAAUAAAAUGUAUAUAAAUACCAUUAUGCAUACAACAUGAGUACAACAUAAAUACCAACAUGAAUACAACGUGUACCUUUAGUACCUCUCGGCUUCGCGGGGGGUCGACCUCCUCUCACGGGGGGUGCUCCUUGCAUAGUAGAGAGCAACACUCUCCGAAGAGGCGAGGCAGGAAUGGAAGUACCCAUCCCAUCACCCACCGACGAAGAAGGAGCCGCGGAGUGCUUUCGACCCUUUCCCACCAUCUUUCAACACCUGUCAUGACAAAGGGUAAAUGAAAUUAGUACAAAAUAAAUACCAACAUGAGUAAUAAAAUGUAUAUAAUUUAAGUGUAUCAUCAUCAUAAAUACCAACANNNNNNNNNNNNNNNNNNNNNNNNNNNNNNNNNNNNNNNNNNNNNNNNNNNNNNNNNNNNNNNNNNNNNNNNNNNNNNNNNNNNNNNNNNNNNNNNNNNNACCAAAUUAGGUCUUACUUUUAUGUAGUUUCCUUGGUGAUAUUCAUAUGCCUCUGUUAUACUUUACUUGAUGUUAAGUUAUAUGCUAUGUGACAUGAUAGCAAGUCAGGAAGGCUGAAAGUGGGAGGCCAUGUUGAACGCAACGAUUAUUGAUACACUUAGGCUAUUAGGAAACCAAGAUCUUGAAAUAUAUUUUUCUAAGAAUGAGCACACUAUCCAUACGCAGGACAUUAUGGGAGCCCAUGGACACUUUCUACAGUUGUAAAUUGUCCACGGGUCAUAAUGGUGUUGUACUAUUUGUAUGUAUUGUUUUGCAGGUAUGAGGAGACGUUCCAUGGUAAUGGUAUGAUUUUACCAUUAGGGUGUUUUUUCCCAUGAUGUUCCUUUGGGCCCGCAUGUGUAGGACUUCCCCACUAGUCCUAAAAUUGUGUGGUUGCGAAUGGCUAUGCUCGGACUCGACACUAGCCACGUGUCACUGGUGUGACACAAUUGGAUCCGAUUCAGAGAUAUAUCUCCCCGACUAGGAUGUAGUAACGAAGUACGUAUCAUUUGUUUGAAACUACGUAGCUUAGCCCGUCGUGGGUCACAACAUAAGGUCGGCGAGCAUGUGUUGUCAUGCCAUUCAGAACUUUAGCUGCUAUCACAAGAAAUGGGCGCCCCCCGUGGGUCAGUUCUUGUUGUGAACAACGUGUGUAUGGAGCUUAUAGUGGGUAUGCAUGGUUAAGGAUGACUUGAGCUUUAUGACAGUUCAUAAGAUAACUUCAAUCAUACUCGCCAAAACUUGUCCGCCCUUAAACUUCAUGUUAAUUGCAUGUUCUACUUCAACCAUAAUUAAUGGAAACCCGUGCACCACAUGAGUGACAUGGGGUAAUUCCUUGGGGAGGGUGUCAGGGAGGAUUCGUGGUGGUGGUAUGCUUGACAGUUGGAUAGAAUGCUCAUGUGCACACAACACUUGUGUUGUGAUGCAUGAAAUUUGGGACAUGUGGUCCUUUGGUUCUCAUGUUGUUCCACUAGACAUAAGUUGUAGCAUUGCCUAGUGCUUGCAACUUCACCACUCAUCCUUUCCAUACCUAUCGGUAUUGUUAUUUGUAGUACCCUUGGUAAUGAUACUUUUCAAGUACCCUGGUACUCACCCUUACCAUAAUAACAGGUUGCAUAUAUUGUGAUGGAUAAUGUUAGCUUGGUUGUCCUUCGGACAAUGGUCUUGGCAAGGUAAUGGACGCAUUUGCUUUUAUUUGAGCCUUCUUGACGCAAUUUGUAUUCUUGCUUCUCCGCCUCCCCCAUAUGAAUUGGACUUUGGUCAUAAGACCCUGAAUGUAUCAAAUAUUGCAUAUGUAUGUAUCUUGUUGUAUGCGGAACUUAUAAUNNNNNNNNNNNNNNNNNNNNNNNNNNNNNNNNNNNNNNNNNNNNNNNNNNNNNNNNNNNNNNNNNNNNNNNNNNNNNNNNNNNNNNNNNNNNNNNNNNNNUCACCUACAUGCUACGUCAACAACAUCAUUCGAAGGUAUGUACUCAUUCGAAGUGAUAUGAGGAGAUCGAAAUUCUUAAUCGAAAAAAUGGUAAACCAAUUUCGCGCUUAACGAUGAGUAUGACCUAUGAUCAAGCAUCCUUGCUUGACUCCUCAAGUCAAAUACUCUAAUAUACACUACAGGAAUUAGCUUCUUUGCCAUCUUCCAUCACAGACGGCAAAGAGUAUAUCACAGACUGCAAAGAGUAUAUCACAAACGGCAAAGAAUCUCACUGUCGACAAAAUUUCCGCGUUAGCCUACGACAACAUUGUAGCUUCUUUGUCGUCUGCUUCACCGAAACGGACGGCAAAGCUCUUUGCCGUGAGCUUUCCAUGAGAGCAGUCGGCAAAUAUGUCGAGACGGUAGCCGGCAGGCGUUGCCUCCGUUAGGGACUAACGGAGGCUUUGCCGUCUGCCUCCCCUCUUCUGUGCCGUCUGCCCCCCCCCCUCUUCUUUGCCAUAUGCCUCCCCCUCCUCUGUGCCAUCUGCCUCCCCCCUCUUCUUUGUCGUCUGCAUCCCCCCUCUUCUGUGCGGUCUACCUCCCCCUCUUCUUUGCCGUCAGCCUCCACCUCCUCCCCCCCUCCUCUCUGCCCUCUUCUUUGCCGUCUACCCCCUCCCUUGAAGCAGACGGCAAAGAUACUAUAUGUCCAGCUGCUGCUGCCCAGGUUGCACAGCUGGGUGCCACGUGGCACCUUUGCCGUCGGUCAGCUGAUGGCAAAGGCCUUUGCCAUCAGCUGGCAGACGGCAAAGAGCCUAUAUUGUCACAUUUUUGUUUAUUUUUUCUAUUUCAUAGCACAUAUAUAUAUAAUUCAUAGCACAUCUAUGAUAAAUAGGUCACAACACAUAUAUGAUAUACAUAUAAAGCUCAUCAAUGCCAUUUGUUCAUCAAAGUACAUCACAUAUAUUAAAAGAACCAACACAUACAAAGUUUCGUCCAUAUAUACAUACAUAUAGUUGCACAUAUAUUGUUCAUCCAUAUAUACAUAUACAUAUAGUUCCACAUUGUUCAUCAACUCAAAUAAAAACGGGAACUAAAGCACUCCAAUGCCAGCUUCCAUGCAUGUAGUACAUCCAAUCUGCAAAAUGGGAAUAAGAAACACAGAAGAAGAAGAAGAAGAAGAACAUAUAUAUGACAAAUAAGCUAAAUUGAAGAAGAAAGAGAAGAAGCAAGAAGAGAACAAGGAGAAGAAAAACAAGGAGGAGGAGGAGGAGGAGGAGGGGAAGGAGAAGGACAAGGAGGAGGAGAAGAAGAAAAAAGAAGAAGAGAAGAAGAAGGAGAAGAAGGAGGAGAAGGAGGAGAGAAGAAGAAGGAGAAGAAGGAUGGCUCCUUCUCCUUCUUCUCCUCCUUCUCCUCCUCCUCCUUCUUCUUCUCCUUCUCCUUCUCCUUCUCUUCUUCUUCUCUUCUUUUUCUUCUUCUUCCUUCUUUUCAUUUCUCCUCUUCUUGGAGCUAAAUUAGCUAACUAUGUCUUUUCGCAGCUAAAUGGGCUAAUUAUGUCAUUCUAGCGGAAAACAAGCUAAGUAUAUAAUAUUAAUGAGCUAAUCAAGGUUCUUAUGCCAUUUUGAGCUUAUUAUGUCUUUUAGGAGCUUAAUUAGUCAUUUUAUUGAGCUAACCAAGGUUCUUAUGAUGUUUUUACCUAACUAAGCUAAUUAUGUCAUUUUGGAUGAUAAUUGGCUAAGUAUGUCUUUGUUGGGGAAAAUAAGCUAAAUUGAAGAAGAAGAGGAGAAGAAGGAGGGAAGAAGAAGGAGAAUAAGGAGGGCUCCUUCUCCUCCUUCUCCUUCUUCUCUUCUUCUUCUCCUCCUCCUUCUUCUCCUUCUCCUUCUCUUCUCUUUCUCUUCUUCUUUUUGUUCUUCCUUUUUAUUUCUCCUCUUCUCCUCUUCUUGGAGCUAAAUUAGCUAACUAUGUCAUUAUAGAGGAAAACAAGCUAAGUAUAUAAUAUUAAUGAGCUAACCAAGGUUCUUAUGCCAUUUUGAGCUUAUAAUGUCUUUUUGGAGCUAAAUUGUCUAAUUAUGUCAUUGUUGGGGAAAUUAAGGCAAGGAGAAUAUGAAAGAAGAAAAGAAAGAGGAGGAGGAGAAGAAGAAGAAGAAAUAAAGAAGGAGGAGGAGAAGGACUAGAAGGUCCUUGGCCUUCUCCUCCUUCUCCUCCUCCUCCUCCUCCUCCUUCUCCUUCUUCUNNNNNNNNNNNNNNNNNNNNNNNNNNNNNNNNNNNNNNNNNNNNNNNNNNNNNNNNNNNNNNNNNNNNNNNNNNNNNNNNNNNNNNNNNNNNNNNNNNNNGGAGGAGGAGAAGGACUAGAAGGUCCUUGGCCUUCUCCUCCUUCUUCUCCUCCUCCUCCUCCACCUCCUCCUUCUUCUCCUCCUCCUUCUUCUCCUUCUCCUUCUCUUCUCUUUUUCUUCUUUUUUGUUCUUCCUUUUCAUUUCUCCUCUUCUUGGAGCUAAAUUAGCUAACUAUGUCAUUAUAGAGGAAAACAAGCUAAGUAUAUAAUAUUAAUGAGCUAACCAAGGUUCUUAUGCCAUUUUGAGCUUAUAAUGUCUUUUUGGAGCUAACCAAGGUUUUUAUGCCAUUAAGGAGAAUAAGGAGGAGGAGGAGGAGGAGAAGGACUAGAAGGUCCUUGGCCUUCUCCUCCUUCUCCUCCUCCUCCUCCUCCUUCUCCUUCUUCUCUUCUUCUUCUUUCUUUUCAUUUUUCCUAUUUAUUCUCCUCUUCACCUCUUCUUGGAGCUAAAUUAGCUAAAUAUGUCUUUUUGGAGCUAAAUGGUAUAAUUAUCCCAUUUUAGAGGAAAACAAGCUAAGUAUAUAAUAUUAAUAAGCUAACCAAGCUUCUUAUGCCAUUUUGAGGUUAUUAUGGCAUUUUGGAGCUAAAUGGUCUAAUUAUGUCAUUGUUGGGGAAAUUAAGGAAAGGAUAAUAUGAAAGAGGAGAAGAAAGAGGAGGAGGAGAAGAAGAAGAAGAAAUAAAGAAGAAGGAGGAGAAGGAGGAGGAGGAGGAGAAGGACUAGAAGGUCCUUGGCCUUCUCCUCCUGCUCCUCUUCCUCCUCCUCCUCCUUCUCCUUCUUCUCUUCUUCUUCUUUCUUUUCGANNNNNNNNNNNNNNNNNNNNNNNNNNNNNNNNNNNNNNNNNNNNNNNNNNNNNNNNNNNNNNNNNNNNNNNNNNNNNNNNNNNNNNNNNNNNNNNNNNNNCCGCGUAAUGCCCCGGGGUAACCCUGAGGCCUUCUGGACCCCCUCCCGAGGAGCCUCCAACACUGGCACAGGCGGCGCUACUAAAGGAGAGGCGCCACAAAGAACAAGAGGCCCCGAAGGCUGCUGCACAGCUGCGAGCGUCAGCACCUUCAGAGGCCGGGGAUCCUUGGAGGCCAGUUCUCCAUGCAACGGCGUCCCCACGCUCACCAGAGGAUGCUUCGGGGGCUCGGGGGGCUUGACGACCAAGGCCAGGGAGGCCGCCCAAAGAUCCCCUCCUCCUCCUCCUUACCCGUAGACGGUGAUGUGUCGACAAGGGCAGGCGGGGCAUCGAGAGACGCCUUCGGCCUAGCAACCGUCUUCUUCUUCUUCGGCGUGAGACCAAAUCAGCGUUCGCCCAUGCUCACUGGACUCACCCACGGUCCAUGGAAGCACCGAGACGAGAUCCGCCUCCUUGGAGAGGGCGCAGUCCAGGAGCGGAGAAGUUGGGGCCAGGCCAUGCCCCUCUGGCUUAUACUUGCCGGUGGUGCCAUCGCUGGAUUGUCGAGUAACUAUGCGACACUGGAUCUGGGAGGCAUCGGCCGGAGUCAAAGGCUUAAGAAGAAAGACGAGUGCGGUAAAAGGAAGGCAAUAAGGCACCGAAGCUACAAGCAGGGCACCUAAUAAAGGGGGCAGAGAUAGAGGACAAGGAGGCAUGGACGCCAUCCGCGUGUCGUGCGCCGGCCUGGACCAUAGGUGUUUGAGGGCCCACGACGUCUCAUGCUACCCCUCAAGGCUCCUCCCUGAAGCCAACCCGAGCACACCGCAUGUCCGGCGGCUACUGUCGGCCUUCUGGGACUCGGGGUACCCAGACCUGCCUGCCUGUGGCCCAGGACGGGCCCGCUUCACUAGAGUGACGCAACAAGCCCAGUGAUAACCCACAAGUAUAAGGGAUCACAACAGUUUUCGAGGGUAGAGUAUUCAACCCAAACAUAUUGAUUCGACACAAGGGGAAGCCAAAGAAUAUUCUCAAGUAUUAGCAGUUGAGUUGUCAAUUCAACCACACCUAAAAGACUUAGUAUCUGCCGCAAAUCUAUCAGUAGCAAGGUAGUGUGAUAGCAACAGUAACCAGUAGCAACAAAGUGACAGCAGUGGUGACAGAGUAACAGUAGCAGCAGUAACAACAGUAGCGGCAAAGUAACGUAGCAAGGACCAGUAGGAAAAACUCGUAGGCAUUGGAUCAGUGAUGGAUGAUUAUGCCAGAAGGUAUUCAUCAUGCAACAGUUAUAACACGGNNNNNNNNNNNNNNNNNNNNNNNNNNNNNNNNNNNNNNNNNNNNNNNNNNNNNNNNNNNNNNNNNNNNNNNNNNNNNNNNNNNNNNNNNNNNNNNNNNNNCUUAAUGCUUAAUAUGUAAGCAGCCUCUCCUAGGUAAUUCGUUGAAAAACAUUAGUUCAAGUAAUCCUUUACACUCUCUAAAAACUCCACAUUGUUUUCAAUCAGCAAUAUGUCAUCCACAUAUAACAUUAGAAACGCUACAGAGCUCCCACUCACUUUCUUGUAUAUAGAAGAUUCUCCAACAACUUGUAUAAUCCCAAAUGUCUUGAUCACCUCAUCAAAGCGUUUAUUCCAACUCCGAAAUGCUUGCACCAGUCCAUAAAUAGAUCGCUAGAGCUUGCAUACUUUGCUAGCAUUCUUUGGAUCGACAAAACCUUCGGAUUGCAUCAUAUACAAGUCUUCCUUAAGAAACCAUUAAGGAACCCCAUUUUGACAUCCAUCAUCAUAUACAAGUCUUCCUUAAGAAACCAUUAAGGAACACCAUUUUGACAUCCAUCUGCCAAAUUUCAUAAUCGAAAUAUGCAGCAAUUGCUAACAUGAUUCGGACGGACUUAAGCAUCGCUACCAGUGAUAAUGUAUCAUCGUAGUCAACAACUUGAACUUGUGAAAAUACUUUUUCCACAAGUCGAGCUUUAUAAAAGGUCACAUUACCAACCGCGUCCGUCUUCUUGAAGAUCCAUUUGUUCUGAAUAGCCUUGCAACCUUCAGGUAAUACUUCCAAAGUCCACACUUUGUUUUCAUACAUAGACCCUAUCUCGGAUUUCAUGGCCUCUAGCCAUUUAUUGGAAUCAGGGCCCACCAUUGCUUCUUCAUAAUUCGCAGGCUCGUUGUUGUCUAACAACAUGAUAGAUAAGACAGGAUUUCCGUACCACUCAGGAGCAGUACGUGAUCUGGUCGACCUGCGAGGUCCGAUAGUAACUUGAUCCGAAACUUCAUGAUCACCAUCAUUAGCUUCCUCCUCAACCGGUGUUUCCUCGACACAGAUUUCCCUCUGCCCCGCGCCACCAUCUUGAGCGAGCAGAGGUUCCAAAACCUCAUCAAUUCUUUCGAGAGAAACUAUUUCUCAAGAAAAGCUUCGUUCUUAGAAACAAACACUUUGCCCUCGGAUCUGAGAUAGAAGGUGUACCCAACUGUCUCUUUUGGACAACUAUGAAGACGCACUUUUCCGCUUUGGGUUCCAGCUUUUCAGGCUGAAGCUUUUUGACAUAAGCAUCGCAUCCACAAACUUUAAGAAACGACAACUUUGGCAUCUUGCCACACCAUAGUUCAUAUGGUGUCGUCUCAACGGAUUUUGAUGGUGCCCUAUUUAAAGUGUAUGCAGAUGUCUCUAAUGCAUAACCCCAAAACGAUAAUGGCAAACCGGUAAGAUACAUCAUAGAUCGCACCAUAUCUAACGAAGUAGGAUUACGACGUUUGGACACACCAUUACGAUGUGGUGUUCCAGGCGGUGUCAACUGUGAAACAAUUCCAAAUUGUCUUAAGUGAGCACCAAACUCAAAACUCAGAUAUUCGCCCCCUCGAUCAGAUCAUAGGAACUUAAUCUUCUUGCUACGAUGAUUUUCAACUUCACUUUGAAAUUGCUUGAAGUUUUGAAAUGUUUCAGACUUGUACUUCAUCAAGUAGAUAUAUCCAUAGCUACUCAAAUCAUCAGUGAAGGUGAGAAAAUAACGAUAUCCGUAGCGCGCCUCCACACUCAUUGGCCCGCACACAUCAGUAUGUAUGAUCUCCAACAAGUCACUUGCACGCUCCAUUGUUCCGGAGAAUGGAGUCUUAGUCAUCUUGCCCAUGAGGCAUGGUUCGCACUUGUCAAGUGAUUCGAAAUCAAGUGACUCCAAAAUUCCAUCAGCAUGGAUUUUCUUCAUGCGCUUUACACCAAAAUGACCUAAGCAGCAGUGCCACAAAAAGGUUGCGCUAUCAUUGUUAACUCUACAUCUUUUGGUCUCAAUGUUAUGGAUAUGUGUGUCAUCAUAAUCAAGAUUCAAUAUGAACAAACCCCUCACAUUUGGUGCAUGACCAUAAAAGAUAUUACUCAUAAAAAUAGAACAACCAUUNNNNNNNNNNNNNNNNNNNNNNNNNNNNNNNNNNNNNNNNNNNNNNNNNNNNNNNNNNNNNNNNNNNNNNNNNNNNNNNNNNNNNNNNNNNNNNNNNNNNAACACAGUUUUGAACUCAAAAGGACAUGCAUAUAUUUGAGCCACCCAAUGCAAGGAACAAAAGAUUUGGUGUCCACCGGAAAAAAAUAUUCACAAUUCCAUCGAAUGUUGUUAGUGCUGGAUGCCACAUUUGUAGAAAAAUCAGGCUCAGACUUGUGAGAAGGAGAUAUACCUCACUCAUGAUGAUCUAUCACGCACAGCUAAGCCGAUAGAUAAGAAAUUAAUUGGCGACCGUAUUGUCGGAUUUCGGGCUCCACAAAGCCCUAAGGAUCCGAACANNNNNNNNNNNNNNNNNNNNNNNNNNNNNNNNNNNNNNNNNNNNNNNNNNNNCUAAGGAUCCGAACACUGGGGCGUGUAUGAAGAUCUCCCCUGCUUCGCCUCGCAUGUCUCACUACUCGAUGGAAACAAUGAAGGACUCACUCGAAGGUUCAGGCCGCUGCGAAGCAUAAAACACUACACCUGCUUUGAUGGAUUGCCUCUCUCUGAGGUUGAGGAACGAGAUGGUACACGACUUUUGCGCCUCCAGAGGCCAAGUGGCUAAGCGUGCUGCUCUAGGGUUUCGAUCCCCUCUCUCAACUAUCCUACCCUAUCUAUUUAUAGUGGAGGCCCGGGUCCUCUUCCCUNNNNNNNNNNNNNNNNNNNNNNNNNNNNNNNGGGUCCUCUUCCCUCUUAGCUUUGGCGGGAAGGGAUUCCACAACGACCAAUUUUGAAGGGGAACAUGCUCCCCUAACAAGAGAUGGUCUUCACCUGCAAAGUAAUUGUCCACCCCAUAGAGACCGGCUCGUGGAUGACGUUUGCCCUACUGGCGGGAGACUGCGGCUUUGUUGCACCAGAAGAUAAACCUUUGGGGGAUGCCUUUGGGAAGCAUGUACGCCCCACCUCCUUUGCACCAAAGGGGAAACUAUCUCGUCCUGCCAUAUGCUGCUCGCCUAUCCUUCCCUGGUGUCACCCUUGACUGCCGAGGACCGGCCCUGCCUCGUAAUAUCCACCAAUCCGGACGGGUCCUGAAGAGGCCCCCCUACGGGUCUUGACGCUGCUCCUCCUCAUGAGGCUUAGCUCCUCACGAGGGCCUGCCCUUAAGCCGUGCUGGGUGAUACGUCUCCAUCGUAUCUACUUUUCCAAACUCUUUUUCCCUUGUUUUGCACUCUAGUUUGCAUGAUUUGAAUGGAACUAACCCGGACUAAUGUUGUUUUCAGUAGAAUUGUCAUGGUGUUGUUUUUGCGCAGAAAUAAAAGUUCCCGGAAUGACCUGAAAAUUUACGAAGAAUUUUUUGUGGAAUAUAUAAAAAAUACUAGCGCAAGAAUCAACCGAAGAAGUGGAGCGUGGAGCCCACAAGCCCACCAGGCGUGCCCCCCUGGCCGCGCCUAACAGGUUUGUGGGGCCCACAUUGCUCCACCGCCUCCCAUUCCACCNNNNNNNNNNNNNNNNNNNNNNNNNNNNNNNNNNNNNNNNNNNNNNNNNNNNNNNNNNNNNNNNNNNNNNNNNNNNNNNNNNNNNNNNNNNNNNNNNNNNGAGCACAUACUCAAAAUGUUUGGGUUACACGGUCGUCUGACUUCACUUGGAGUCGAACUUCCGGAUGAUGCUAUAAUUGACUGAAUCCUCCAGUCUCUCCCAUCAAGCUACAAAGGCUUUGUGCUUAACUACAACAUGCAAGGGAUGGAGAAGACCAUUCCCGAGUUGUACUCGAUACUCAAGUCUGCAGAAGUAGAAAUCAAGAAAGAGCAUCAAGUGUUGAUGGUCAACAAGACCACUAGUUUCAAGAAGGGCAAGGGUAAGAAGAACUUCAAGAAAGACGGCAAAGCUGUUGCUGCGCCCGGUAAGCCAGAUGCUGAGAAGAAGAAAAAGAAUGGACCCAAGCCUGAGACUGAGUGCUUCUAUUGCAAGGGAAAAGGUCACUGGAAGCGGAACUGCCCCAAAUACUUAGCGGACAAGAAGGCCGGCAACGUUAAAGGUAUAUGUGAUAUACAUGUUAUUGAUGUGUACCUUACCAGCGCUCUUAGUAGCUCCUGGGUAUUUGAUACCGGUGUUGUUGCUCACAUUUGCAACUCAAAGCAGGAACUGCGGAAUAAGCGGAGACUGGCCAAGGACGAGGUGACGAUGCGCGUCGGGAAUUGUUCAAAGGUCGAUGUGAUCGCCGUCGGCACGCUACCUCUACAUCUACAAUCGGGAUUAGUUUUGAACCUUAAUAAUUGUUAUUUAGUACCAGCUUUAAGCAUGAACAUUGUAUCAGGGUCUUGCUUAAUGCGAGACGGCUACUCAUUUAAGUGAGAGAAUAAUGGUUGUUCUAUUUAUAUGAGUGAUAUGUUUUAUGGUCAUGCUCCGCUGGUAAAUGGUUUAUUCUUGAUGAAUCUCGAUCGUGAUGUUACACAUAUUCAUAGUGUGAGUACCAGAAAAUGUAAAGUUGAUAAUGAUAGUCCCACAUACUUGUGGCACUGCCGCCUUGGUCAUAUCAGCGUUAAGCGCAUGAAGAAGCUCCAUACAGAUGGACUAUUAGAGUCUCUUGACUUUGAAUCAUUUGACACAUGCGAACCGUGCCUCAUGGGCAAGAUGACUAAGACUCCAUUCUCAGGAAUAAUGGAGAGAGCAACCGACUUAUUGGAAAUAAUACAUACCGAUGUGUGUGGUCCAAUGAACGUUGAAGCUCGCGGUGGUUAUCGUUAUGUUCUCACUCUCACCGAUGAUUUGAGUAGGUAUGGGUAUAUCUACUUGAUGAAGCACAAAUCUGAGACGUUUGAAAAGUUCAAGGAAUUUCAGAGUGAGGUUGAGAAUCAACGUGACAGAAAAAUUAAAUGUCUACGAUCUGAUCGUGGAGGAGAAUAUUUGAGUCACGAGUUUGGCACACACCUAAGGAAGUGUGGAAUCGUUUCACAACUGACGCCNNNNNNNNNNNNNNNNNNNNNNNNNNNNNNNNNNNNNNNNNNNNNNNNNNNNNNNNNNNNNNNNNNNNNNNNNNNNNNNNNNNNNNNNNNNNNNNNNNNNCAUUGUGAUCUAUUUAUUCACACAUGUAUUACUGUUUCCUGUUAAUACAAUUAUAGCAUGAACAAUAGACGAUUAUCAUGAACAAGGAAAUAUGAUAAUAACCAUUUUAUUAUUGCCGCUAGGGCAUAUUUCCAACAGUCUCCCACUUGCACUAGAGUCGAUAAUCUAGUUACAUUGUGAUGUAUCGAACACCCAUAGCAUUAUGGUGUUGAUCAUGUUUCGCUCGUGGAAGAUGUUUAGUCAACGGGUCUGCAAUAUUCAGAUCCGUGUGUACUUUACAAAUAUCUAUCACUCCACUCUGGACAUGGUCCUGGAUGGAGUUGUAGCGGCAUUUGAUGUGCUUUGUCUUCCGGUGAAAUCUGGGUUCCUUGGCUAUGGCAAUGGCCCCAGUGUUAUCACAGAAGAGUGUCAUUGGACCCGACGCGCUUGGAACCACUCCAAGGUCGGUGAUGAGCUCCUUCAUCCAAAUUCCUUCAUGAGCUACUUUUGAAGAAGCUAUGUACUCCGCUUCACAUGUAGAUGCUGCCACGACUUCUUGCUUGCUACUGCACCAGCUCACCGCCCCACCAUUCAACACAUAUACGUAUCCGGUCUGUGACUUAGAGUCAUCCGGAUCUGUGUCGAAGCUAGCGUCGACGUAACCCUUUACGACGAGCUCUUCGUCACCUCCAUAAACGAGAAACAUUUCCUUAGUCCUUUUCAUGUACUUAAGGAUAUUCUUGACCGCUGUCCGGUGCUCCAUACCGGGAUCACUUUGGUACCUCCCUACCAAGCUUAUGGCAAGGUUUAUAUGAGGUUGGGUACACAGCAUGGCAUACAUUAGAGAGCCCACGGCUGAUGCGUAGGGGACAUAACUCAUCUUCUCUCUAUCUGCUGCCGUGGUCGGCGACUGAGUCUUAGUCAAUCUCAUAGCUUGCAAAACUGGCAAGAACCCUUUCUUUGAGUUUUCCAUAUUGAACUUCAAUAUCUUGUCAAGGUAUGUACUUUGCGAAAGACCUAUGAGGCAUCUCGAUCUAUCUCUAUAGAUCUUGAUGCCUAAUAUGUAUGCAGCUUCUCCAAGGUCCUUCAUUGAAAAACUCUUGUUCAAAUAGGCCUUUAUGCUCUCCAACAUCUCUAUAUUAUUCCCCAUCAAUAAUAUGUCAUCCACAUACAGUAUGAGGAAAGCUACAGAGUUCCCACUCACUUUCUUGUACAGUCAGGCUUCUCCGUAAACCUGUAUGAACCCAAACGCUUUAAUCACCUCAUUAAAGCGAAUGUUCCAACUCCGAGAUGCUUGCACCAGCCCAUAGAUGGAGCGCUGGAGCUUGCACACUUUGCUAGCACCCUUAGGGUNNNNNNNNNNNNNNNNNNNNNNNNNNNUUGCUAGCACCCUUAGGGUCGACAAAACCUUCUGGUUGCGUCAUAUACAACUCUUCCUUAAGGUUCCCGUUAAGGAACACUGUUUUGACGUCCAUUUGCCAAAUUUCAUAAUCAUAAAAGGUGACAAUUGCUAACAUGAUUCGGACUGAUUUCAGCUUCGCUACGGGAGAGAAAGUCUCUUCGUAGUCAACUCCUUGAAUUUGUCGAAAACCCUUUGCGACAAGUUGAGCUUUGUAAAUGGUUACAUUACCGUUUGCAUCAGUCUUCUUCUUGAAGAUCCAUUUACUUUCUAUGGCUCGCCGCUCAUUGGGCAAUUCCACCAAAGUCCAUACUUUGUUCUCACACAUGGAUCCUAUCUCGGAUUUCAUAGCCUCAAGCCAUUUGUUGGAAUCCGGGCCCGCCAUCGCUUCUUCAUAGUUCGAAGGUUCACCGUUGUCUAACAACAUGAUUUCCAUCACAGGGCUGCCGUACCACUCUGGUGCGGAGCGUGCCCUUGUGGACCUUCGCGGUUCAGUAGUAACUUGAUCCGAAGCUUCAUGAUCAUCAUCAUUAACUUCCUCUUCAGUUGGUGUAGGCGCCACAGGAACAACUUCCCGCGUUGAGCUACUAUCCUGUUCGAGAGGGGGUGUAAUUACCUCAUCAAGUUCUACCUUCCUCCCACUUACUUCUUUCGAGAGAAACUCUUUCUCUAGAAAGGAUCCGUUCUUGGCAACAAAGGUUUUACCUUCGGAUCUAAGNNNNNNNNNNNNNNNNNNNNNNNNNNNNNNNNNNNNNNNNNNNNNNNNNNNNNNNNNNNNNNNNNNNNNNNNNNNNNNNNNNNNNNNNNNNNNNNNNNNNGUGAUAGUGAUGAUGAUGAUGCAUUUAUUGAUGAUGAUUAUUAGUUUGUAAGAUUCACAACUUAAAUUAUAUAUAUUUUAAUCUUUAUUAUUCAUGUACAUAUUAUUAUUCAUGUCAGUUAUUCAAUUUUUUUAUGUUGUACUAAUUUCUUUUAAUCUUUAUCAUGGCAGGUCACCUGGUGUUGAAAGAUGGUGGGCGCUGGUCCAGAGCGCUCGACGGGUUCUUCCCAGCCGCCCCGCACGAGGGGUGGUACUUCCCUUCCACCCCUAUGUCUCCGUAGAGCCUUGGCAGACAGUCUGUCGACACCACCCGUGGGUUCUUCUUCGUCGGCGGCAUUGCCCACUGGGAGAGGUGCUCUUCGGGUAGGGAAGAAGGGGAAGGGUACAUGGAGAGGUGGUGGCCACGGAAGAUCCAGGAGGACUGUUGAGCCGUCCUCGCCACCACCACCAGCUCAUUCACCCGAGCAUACGACUACUAUGGUCGACCCGUUUGCGGAAGAGGCUACGGGGACUCCGGUCUAGGAGCGUGGUGUUGACGGGCAUUCGUCCCAUGAGACUCCGGUCCAGGAUCAGCCUCGGGUCGAGGUGCAUUCGUCCCACGAGACUACGUUUCCGGAGGCUUCACCCGACGUGGAGAGGCCCGGAUGGGAUACCUGGCCGGAUCGGACCGAGUUGCCGGAUUGGACCGAGGGUCCGAGUGGCUCAGGGGGCUGGGAUGGCGGGGAUGAGUUUACGGAUAGUGAGGGCGAUGUGCAGGUGGACGGGGCCACCGUGUACAAGAGUGGUAGUACACGUCUCCCGGUCGUGCCGGCUACCCGCGAGCAGAGGCCGGUGAUUAAACCUGAAGGAGAUAGGUAAGUACAUUUACUCUUUUUUAGCUUUUGCCUUCAAGUUUGUUCAAAUAUCUAAUGUGUUGACCUUAUCAUACUGCAGGGGAUGGGUACACCCUAUUGGAGUCCGCAGGCCGAACUCCGUCCUUGGUGUGCUUUGCCGGACAAAUUUCCCGGGGUUUGUCACGUUGCUUGGUGAGGGUCAGGUUCCUACACUAGGAUUUUCCUGGGAGCACUACCAGGCUGCGCAAGCCCCGCCGGAAGAGAUUAUAGAUGGUGUCUUGUGACACACGAGGGUCGAGAUGGUGAUCAAGAGCUUUUGGGUAAAUUAUCCUUUUACACAAUCUAAAAUUAACAAGAUAAGUAAUUAUUGUACUAAUCGGUGUUUUCACGUUUGAUUGCAGACCUUCUAUAGGUGUGAGGAUGGAUAUGAGGAGGAGGCGGCCAAGGUUCUCGAGGCCGAGUGUAGGCGGUUACUACAGAACUUAUGCCACGAGGCUCGGCCGCAGGCUAUUCGAGACUACUAUGCCACGCGUGGUAUUAAGAAGCAGAAGAAGGAUUGCCGCGGAAAGUUUCUGAAGAAGGAGCAAUACAUGAAGGUAAUUACCUAUUCUUAAGUCCUUAUACGUAGUUUUCUUGAUUUCAUUCAUAGGCGUAGCGCUCAAAAUUCUUUCUAAUAACUUACAGGUGCCCCCGAGAUGGUGUGCGGAUAAGAUGGAUUGUUGGGAGGCGUUGGUUGAUGAGUGGUGCACAGGCAGCUGGCGAGCCGUCCACGAGAAUGCGAAGGAUCGGCAUAGCCAAAUGGUUGGUGUGCCACACCAUCAAGGCAACGCCAACUUACUUCAGUUUGGACGAAACUGGGUAUGUGAUUUGCUUCAUGAUUCAUGCAAUUCGUUCUUCAUGCUAGUGUUUUGAUCCUCUCUUUUAGGCGCAUCACAAUAAUACGGAGAUGCCACACUUGUACGACCUUUAUGGCAUGGCCCAUACUGCCUCGUACAAGAAGGCGAAGGCAUUCUCUGAGUCUGACCUGGAUGAUCCCAAUAACUUCACCAACAUAUCAUCCCACCACAAGCUCGUGGCAUACAGGGACGCGGGGAAGGCUAUGAAAGGGGAUGACUUUAACCCUAGCCAGGAACCUUUGGAUCCAAAGCUGGUGAUGAUAUCUGGUGGCAGGAGGCCCCAUGGCUCGAUAGCCAUUGGAGCUGGGAUAAUACGUUGUCCACUCACUCUCCCGGAGAUCAAGGCGCGCCAGUCGAGCAGUUGUCCUGAGAUAACGCGUCGUCCACGGCCAGUCGAUCUUGCCAUCGAGGUUAGUUGUACGGACUAAGAACACUUUCAUCCAUUUCAUUAUGUGUGUCACCAUAGAUCAUUACUGUGGUAACUAGGAGUGGUGUUUCAGGCUGCUCUUCGGAAAGAGAGGUUGGCAAACUAGGCUGCUCUUGAGAAAGAGAGAUUGGCAAACCAGGCUGCUCUUGAGAAAGAGAGAUUGGCAAGCCAGGCUGCUCUUGAUGAGAGGGACCAGACCACGACACGAUUGAUUGAGGAGGAGAGGUCCCGAAAUGAGGCGGGUCAACGGGCCGUGUAUGAGCUUUUUGUGGUAAGUUUUUUUUCACAUUAGCCAAAUCAUGUGUGUAAUGUCUGUUUCAUUACUAACUAAUACGACCCACUCUUCACGGUCAGUGCGAGAUGAGCGGUCAAGUCCCUCCGUCGAUGCCCGUCUUCUCUUCGAUUAGCAUGGUGAGUUUUAUUAUAAACUAGUAUUAAUAAUUUAGUGUCAUCAUGCUAACUCAGACAUUGCAAAAUAUCUAUUCUGCAGAAUAACUCCCGAGCGGCAUCGCCCGACCCUUCUCCACGUAUUUCUCCUCCUUGAUGACCACUACGGUAAGUUUAUAUUCUCCUCUUUCAUAUAAUGACAUAGUUAGCUAAUUUAGCUCCAAGAAGAGGAGAAGAGGAGGAGGAGGAGAAGGAGGAGAAGGCCAAGGACCUUCUAGUCCUUCUCCUCGUCCUCCUCCUUCUCCUCCUUCUUCUUUAUUUCUUCUUCUCCUCCUCCUCCUCCUCUUUCUUCUCCUCUUUCAUAUUCUCCUUGCCUUAAUUUCCCCAACAAUGACAUAAUUAGCCCAUUUAGCUCCAAAAUGCCAUAAUAACCUCAAAAUGGCAUAAGAACCUUGGUUAGCUCAUUAAUAUUAUAUACUUAGCUUGUUUUCCUCUAAAAUGGGACAAUUAGCCCAUUUAGCUCCAAAAAUACAUAGUUAGCUAAUUUAGCUCCAAGAAGAGGAGAAGAGGAGAAGAAAUAGGAAAAAUGAAAAGAAAGAAGAAGAAGAAGAAGAGAAGAAGGAGAAGGAGGAGGAGGAGGAGGAGAAGAAGAAUAAAUAAAGAAGAAGGAGGAGAAGGCCAAGGACCUUCUAGUCCUUCUCCUCCUCCUCCUCCUUCUCCUCCUUCUUCUUUAUUUCUUAUUCUUCUUCUCCUCCUCCUCUUUAUUCUCGUCUUUCAUAUUAUCCUUGCCUUAAUUUCCCUAACAAUGACAUAAUUAGCCAAUUUAGCUCCAAAAAGACAUUAUAAGCUCAAAAUGGCAUAAGAACAUUGGUUAGCACAUUAAUAUUAUAUACUUAGCUUGUUUUCCUCUAUAAUGACAUAGUUAGCUAAUUUAGCUCCAAGAAGAGGAGAAGAGGAGAAAUGAAAAGGAAGAACAAAAAGAAGAAGAGAAAGAGAAGAGAAGGAGAAGGAGAAGAAGGAGGAGGAGAAGAAGGAGAAGGAGGAGGAGGAGGAGGAGGAGGNNNNNNNNNNNNNNNNNNNNNNNNNNNNNNNNNNNNNNNNNNNNNNNNNNNNNNNNNNNNNNNNNNNNNNNNNNNNNNNNNNNNNNNNNNNNNNNNNNNNGAGAAGGCCAAUGUGGCCGUCGAACGCUGCAAAGAGGUGGAAUCCCGCCUGAGCGCCCUCCAAGGGGAACAUGCCAAGCUAGUCGAGCAACGCCGCUCGAAGGAGGAGGAACUCAAGGCCUGUGAGGCCAAGCUUGCCGCCCGGGAGAGGGAGCUGUCCCGGGAGACGAACCGCCUGGGAGCAGAACAGGAGCUCUUGGUUGAGCGGGAGAAGGAUGCCACNNNNNNNNNNNNNNNNNNNNNNNNNNNNNGCGGGAGAAGGAUGCCACCACGAAGGAGGCUCUCCUUGAGGCCUGGGAGAAGGCCCUCGCCGCAGCCAAGGAAAAGAAGGCCUCCGAGCUGGCAUGCUUCCCCGACGUCGAGCUUGUGCUUCGCAAGGCGAUCCACUACCUCUGUCGGGGUGGGUUUGACGAGCCUCUGGCUACCCCGGAGGAAAGCAUUUCCAUGCUCGCGAAUGGGCUCGUCACAGCGCUGCGGGAUGCCGUCAUGCAGAUCGACAAGUCCUUGGCGAGUGAAUGCCACGACCUCUUCUUCGCGGUCGUGACUCGUGUCUUCAGCCACGUUCAUCUUCGCGACCCCGAAUUUGAUCUAAGCUUCGUGAUCAUGUGGUUCCUCCCAGGGCCCGCGACCGCGUCGUGGAGUCGGUGAAGGGUCUUGUGGAGGCGUUGGUGAGGAAGUUCGCCCGCGUCGUGCCCCCCUCGUCACCAGGUACCGCUAGAGGCGACGAUAGGGAAGACAAUGCCUCCGAUGUCGACGACCAGCCCCCUGUGGAGGGGGUGACCGACGGCGGCUCCUCUUGAUCUACUGCACUUGUUAUUUCUCUGCAAUGCACAUCGUGCCUCGUGGAGGCGUCAAACUUAUUUGUGUUUUUUAUGAACUGGGUCAUGGUCUGUAAUAAUUGAAUGCUCGAUUGUUUUCCUCGGCUUGUUCCUAUCAUUUUUUCCGUGUUUCUCUAUGUCGGCAAGGCCGGCCCUGCUCGUACCUUCCCGUGAUUGGACUGACCGGAAACCAAGGACAACCCAAAGGGGGAAGGGGCUAUGAGCGCAGUUAGGCUCCUGAGUCGCGAUGCUCAGGAAUCCCCCUUGACGCGCAAGCUCCUCUCAUGAGGAGGACGUGGUGAAGAUUCCGAAACUUAGAACAUUUUCAGCACUCUGUGUCGGGAGAGCCUGCCCCGCGCAUACCUCGCCGCGAUUGAACCAACCAGAAACCAAGGACGGCCCAAAGGGGGAGUGGCUAUGAGCGUAGUUAGGCCCGUGAGUCGUGAUGCUCAUGGGUGCCCCUUGACGUGCGAGCGACUCCGAUCCUCUUCGUAAGAAACCGAUGGUGUGAGACUCUCGAACUCCUUCAACACUCUGCAUCUGCAGGGCCCGCCCCACGCGUACCUCCCCGCAGUUGAGCCGACCUGAAAGGGGUGGCUAAAAAGGGAAAGGGGCUACGGGCACAGUUCAGGCUCCUGAGUCGCGAUGCUCAGGAGUCACACUUGACAUGCGAGUGACUCCAGCAUUCUUCCUAAGGGAUUUAAAGCGACUUGUUGAGCGCAUUGGGCUAUGUGUCCGCAGGGCCCGCCCCCUGCGUACCUUCCUGCGAUUGAACCGUCCAAGGACGGCCCAAAGAGCGAAGGGGCUACGAGCAUAGUUAGGCCGCUGAGUCGCGAUGCUCAGGGGUCCCCCUUGAUGUGCGAGCGGCUCCGUACCUUCAGUUGUUUGCCCACACGCUGGGUGUGGGCGGAGCUGUGGAUGUAUUGCGCUGAUCCCCUCGAUGGCCUUGGGUGUAGCCAUUGGCGGGCUGUGUUAAUGCCGGUUGAGGGCGUAGUCAUCGGCGGACUAUAUUGGUUGCCCAUGUAUGUACCCAGCGCGGAGCAUAGGUCUUCUACUAGGCAUAGGGUGGACCCCUCCGUGUCCUCGGGGGGCCCUGGGCGUAUAUAGCCUCGGCUCGUUAUUACGUUAGAGUGUCACGGUGGGGGUGUAUAUGGGAGGUCGCGAGAAAGAUAGGGCCUUGCAAGUGUCCCUACCCCGAGGCAUCGGGGCCUGAUCUUCUCCCCAGCGUGGAGCGUAGGUCUGCCACUCGGUAUAGGAUGGACCCCAACNNNNNNNNNNNNNNNNNNNNNNNNNNNNNNNNGACCCCAACGUGUCCUCGGGAGGCCUUGGGCGUAUACAGCCUCGGCUCGUUAUUACGUGAGAGAGUCACAGUGGGGUGUAUAUGGGAGGUCGUGAGGAUGCUAUGGCCUCGCGAGUGUCCCUACCCCCGAGUCAUUGGUGGACUGAAUUGACUUGGUUUGGGUCAUUGGCAAACCCUGCUCACUUCUUCUUUAGGAGAGGGGCUCCGCACCUGCACGAACAAACUUUGACCGGAGCCCCCAAGCGGGGGCCGAUCGCCCGACAAUAUAACCAAGGCGGAACGUUAGGAUGCCAAGCAGGUGCAAUUGAACAACCAAAUGAUGCAUAAACGAAAGUAGUAGCUGGGGAAAGUACAGAGCUCGGGGAGGCCGCAUGGCCCUGGGGUUACCUAUGGACUGGGCGAACCGAAAGGUUACCUGGCAGCGGCCAGCAAAAAGUUACCUAGCGGCCGAGCUGCUGAAGUGCCGGAGGCUCUGUUGUCGCUUGAUUUCCUGGAUCCGCAGUCGCGACCCUCACGGGUCCAUCGCCCCCCGAUCUAGGGGCCUUCGCUUGGCCCGAGCAUCUUCUCCUCCUCCUCGUGGCGCCCAAGCACGCAAGGGAGGAGAAUGGCCUGCUGGAGCCUCUGGUACGUGGCAGCCGCGUUCCUCAGCCCGGAGAGCAUGAAGGCUUCAGUGCUCGGGUACUCCCACCAGUAGCCAGUCUGCGUAGGACAGAAGGGGUCGUGCGCCAUGGCUGCGUUGGUUGCAGACGCGUUAAUGCAGAUGCGGGGCCGGUCAACUGUGCAGACAGCGGCGACUGCGAUGGGUGGUGCGGGGCAGUUACCGUGUCGCAUGGUCUGGGCCUCGAGAAGUUCUCGGAUUUCUUUGAUGACGGACUCGCGAGAUCUGGUCGAACGUGCUCCGGAGUGCGCCCUCGGGAUGUGCUCAGACACCGCCUCUGUCUCACUGAUCAGGCUAGGGGCCUCCCCGGUGGGAGCCCCCUAGCCCUGAUCUAAGAGGGACGCCGAGCGCACAUCCCUAUGCGAUGGGGGGCAGGGAUCCGUCCCCGAGCAUCGAACACAAAGCCCCGAGGCACUCCGCAGGGAGGAACUCCUUCUUGAGCGGGGCUUCGUGAGGCAGCUCGUCAUCUUCAUCAUUUGAGCGUUCUGACGUUGCCGCACGGUACGCUCUCUCCAGUGCGUAGACAUCAUCCUUCUCAUGACAGGGUAUGGUGAUGUCACCACCGCUUCCCGGCAUCUUGAGGACAUUCUAUCCAUGGUGGACCACGACCAUGAACUUGGCAAGCACUGGUUACCCGAGGAUGGCAUUGUAUGGCAGAUGGAUGUGCGCGACGUCGAAGAGGAUGACCUUGGUGUGAUAGUUGUGGCGCUCGCCAAAGGUGACGGGCAGGUGCACUUGCCCAAUGGGUACGGUGGAUCCCUUUGUUACCCCUGAGAAGGGCUUGGUCGGCAUGAGUUGCUCAUACGGCAGCUGGAGCUUCUCGAAGGUCUCGACUGAGAGGAUGUUGAGCCCAGCUCCACUCUCAAUGAGAGUCUUGGUGACGAGGACGUUGCUGAUAGUUGGGGUGCACAUCAUUGGGAGCUUGCCAGCCAGGAACGAGCACCUGAGCUGGUCGCUUGGGUCGAAAGCAAUGGUGGUCUGGGACUAGUUGAGGGGACGUAUCGCUUCAGGCCUCGGGAGGGCGACAUUCACCUCCUGGGACAACUGCAUGAAGGCGUGGUUGGAUGCUGGGGUCUGGGCACCACCCAGGAUGGAAGCUAGUGCCCUGGCAUUCUGGAAGCCCCCAGCCCUGUCGUCUUGCUUGUCUUCGUUCCUCCUCCUGGGCUGCAGGGGCAGCGAGGGCAGCCUGGUCUCUCGAGGGCGAGCCUCACGAGGUUGGCCGCUUCGCUGGCCCUCCUGAGGAUUAUCACGCCAGCGGUCCUCCUGAGGUUGGCCAUGCCAGGGGUCCUCCUGAGGCUUCUCAUGCCACCCCUGACGUGGCUCACGAUCAUCCCAGCGGACCCCAUUGCGGCCUCCUCCAUGCAGGGUUUCUGUAGAACUGUCCGGGAUCCUGUUGAAGUGUUUGGCAUGAACCAAACGUAGUUCUUGACAUUCAGAGGUGUCAUGGCCGAUGGUGCAAUGGAAGAUGCACGUCGGCCCUCCUCCAGAGGGGCGCUCUCCCCCCUCGAGUAUGCUUCGUUUCAGGCUCGGCGGCUAGUACCGCUGGGGCCUUGCGCUUCAGCUCCUUGGCUUUGGCCUUCUUCUCUUCUGGGUCCGCCGCCUGGGGCCCAAGGAGCGAUAGGCGUCCUUCUUCCGCCUUGGCGCACUUGCUUGCCAAGUUGAACAUCUCCAAUGCGGUGCUCAUUUCAUCGUUCAUGGCAAGCUCUUCCUUCAUCUUGAGGUCGGUGACUCCGUUGGAUAAAGACGAUACGACAGCCUCAUCCGACGCCUUAGGGAUCAUGAGGCGCAUGACAGUCAAACAUUGUAUGAACUUGUGCAGGUUAUCCACCUCUUGCUGCUUGACGCGCCGCAGGUCGAUCACGGUGGGAGCGCGGUCGCGGGUGCCCUGGAAGUUGGCGAUGAAGCGCUCACGCAAGCCGUCCCAGGAGGUAAUGGACGCCUUUGGGAGGUUGAGGAGCCAUGAAAGCGCGCCACCCUUGAGCGCCAUCGGGAACCAACAUGCCAUGAUCUUGUCGCCACCUCCUGCCGCCUUGAUGCUCAGUGUGUAGAGUUGCAGGAACUCUGUCGGGUCUUGGUUUCCGUCGUAACAUGGGGGCAGGUCGGGCUUGAACUUGCAGGGCCAUGUGCCGGGGUAGAUAUCGGGGGCGAUGGUGAAGCACCCCACCGGUCCAACAAGCACAGUACGCGCGGGGGCUGCCUGGUCUUGUUGUUCCUCAGGGUCUGCCUCGAGCAGAGCACGCUCCGGGCGCGAGAUCUACAACGCCAGGGGAGCGCACGCGUUGGCGCGGGGCCUGGGGAUCAUCUGGCAGCUUGCUUCAUCCCCGGGCCUCGCCCUGGGUUCACGCGGCCGAGCACGGAGUCGUGCUUCCUGCCCGGGCUCGGGGUCCGCGACAUGCCGCGGAGGCGAGUAUGGCGCGUCUUGCUCCUCGUUGUUCGUCAGGGACGGCUAGGGCCGGAGCAAGCAGGAGAGUGCCGCUGAGUCACCAGCGGCGGCGAUGAGUUCCUCGAUGCGAUGGAUCGAGUUGUCAUGGCGGUCUAGAGCUGGUCGGUAAGGGAGAAGCUCGGUGGUCAUGGCAAGCGGGCGGCGGCCAUGGGGCCUCCCUAGCCGAGCGCGGGAUGCCGACGCCGAAGGCCUGACGAGCGACGGCGUGGCGGUGCAGCUGUCGACAUGCUCAGUCGGAGGUUGGGAGCAGCCCUGUUGCUCUAGAGCUUCGGGGCUGGUAGCAGCAUUCACCACGGGUGACGGUGACCGACACGCACCGGCAGCACCGACGGGUGCGGUCCGGGCGAUGCGGGUGGCGCGAUGUUCCGCACGUACCCGGUGUGUAUCAGCCAUCAGAGCCAUGGAGUUUGGUGAGGACGGAGCUUGGAGUAAACCUCGACACGCCCCUACCUGGCACGCCAAAUGUUGGAUUUCGGGCUCUGCAAAACCCUAAGGACUCAAACACUGGCGCGUGUACAAAGAUCUCCCCUUCUUCGCCUCGCCUGUCUCACUACUCGAUGGAAACAAUGAAGGACUCACUAGAAGGUGAGGAGAACACAGAACCCAGCAACUUACCCAGGUUCGAGCCGCUAUGAAGCGUAAAACCCUAAUACUGCUUUGGAGGAUUGCCUCUCUUCAAGGUUGAGGAACGAGAUGGUACAUGGCUUUUGCGCCUCCGGAGGCCAAGUGGCUAAGCGUGCUGCACUAGGGUUUCGAUCCCCUCUCUCAAGUAUCUGUUGGGCAAGGUUGCAUGGGAAACAAAAAAAUUCCUACGCACACGAAGACCUAUCAUGGUGAUGUUCAUCUACGAGAGGGAGGUCAUAUCCACAUACCCUUGUAGAUCGCUAAGCACGAAGUGUUAAGAAAUGUAGUUGAUGUAGUGGAACAGCUUUGUGAUUCAAAUCACCAUUGUCCCACGAUCCGUCCCGAUCUAGUACCGAACGGACCACACCUCUGCGUUCAGCGCACGUACAGCUCGAUGACGAUCUCUGCCUUCUUGAUCCAGCAAGAGAGACGGGGAUGUAGAUGAGUUCUCCGGCAGCGUGAUGGCGUGCUGGUGAUGGUGAUGAUCUAUUCCUACAGGGCUCCGCCCGACCUCCGCAAAAAACCGAUCUAGAGGAAGAACUACGAAGUAGAGGUUUAGGGUUUCAUGUGGCAAAGUUUUUUCUCAAGAACACUAAAAUCUCUAGUAUAUAUAGUAGGAGGGGAGGGGCUAGCCUUGGGGAUCAAGAGAGCCCCUAGGGCGUCGGCCGAGUGGAGGAGGAGGGACUCCCACUCCAAUUCGGUUUGGGAAGGAGGAGUCCCUUCCUUCCUUCCCACCUCCCUCUUUUUUUUCUCCUUUGAUUUUUCCUCUUGGACGAAAUAGCCCUAUUAGGCUGGCCUCACCAGCCCACCAAGGGCUGGUGCGCCACCCAUGGCCUAUUAGGUUCUCUCCCGGGUGGGUGGCCCCCUCCCGGUAAAAACCCGGAACCCAUUCAUCACUCCCGGUACACUGCCGGUAAUGCCCGAAAUCUUUCCGGAAGCCAAAUGAAACAAUCCUAUAUAUCAAUCUUCGUUUCCGGACCAUUUCGGAAACUCACUUGAUGUCUGUCAUCUCAUCCGGGAGUCCCAACAAACCUUCGGUCGCCAACACCUAUAACUCAACUAUACUGAAACGUCACCGAACCUUAAGUAUGCAGACCCUGCGGGUUCGAGAACAAUGCAGACAUGACCUGAGACACUCCCUGAUCAAUAUCCAAUGGAGGGACCUGGAUGUCCAUAUUGGAUCCUACAUAUUCUACAAAGAUCUUAUCAGUUGAACCUCUGUGCCAAGGAUUCAUAUAAUCCCGUAUACCAUUCCCUUUGUCCUUCGGUAUGUUACUUUCCCGAGAUUCGAUCGUCGGUAUCCCUAUACCUAUUUAAAUCUCGUUACCGGCAAGUCUCUUUACUCGUUCUGUAAUACAAGAUCCUGUGACAAACACUUUAGUCACAUUUCUUGCAAGGCUUAUAUGUGAUGUUGUAUUACCGAGUGGGCCCCGAGAUACCUCUCCGUCACANNNNNNNNNNNNNNNNNNNNNNNNNNNNNNNNNNNNNNNNNNNNNNNNNNNNNNNNNNNNNNNNNNNNNNNNNNNNNNNNNNNNNNNNNNNNNNNNNNNNAGCAUGUUUUCUCGAGCCAUGUUGGUACAUGAACAUGGACAUACACAUAUUCUUAGGAACAAAUAAGAAAGAUAAAUGGAGAAGGAAAACCCAAAGCAAUGUCAGAGUUGACAAAACUGCAAUGGCACUUUAUAUGUGGCCCAUCGUCAGUGAGCUGUUUAUGCCUUGCCGGACUCCUCGCAGCCUGGUGGCUUGAAGGCGAUGAAGCUGACGCACUGCACCUGACGCAUGUUGUCGAAUCCGAUGAUGCGGACAUACGCGUCAGGGUACUCCUUCUUGACCUCCUCCACCUCGUUGAGCACCUGUGUGGCGUCGGUGCAUCCGAACAUAGGCAGCUUCCACAUUGUCCAGUACCGGCCAUCGUAGUACCCAGGAGAUGCGUUGUGCUCACGGAAGAUGAACCCAACCUUGCUGAACUCGAGGCAAGGCACCCACUUGGAGCGGAUCAGGUAGUCGACCUGCUUAAGGAGGGCCUCCGUGCUGAGUGGUGGCAAGUAAGACAGGGUCUCGAACUUCUUGAUGCCCUCGAUGGGCCACACCUGCAAAUCAGAUUCACGUCUAUACAUUAAGAGACUAUAACUCUAGUUCUACACGUUUGAUUGUUCUUCUUGACAUCCGUCGGCUUAAAAAUGACUAGAAAGACAGAGACGAUGUUGUUUACCUGCAUGCACCUGAUCCUUCCACCGUUGCUGACGCUGCCGAGGCUAGCACCGUUCGAGCGGCGGCUGACGGGGAGGCCGGCGGUGGACUUGAGCCCCUGGAAAGGAGCGACGGAGGUGGCCGACGAGGCCAUCACGGUGGGGGCCAUAGCUGUACUAUGUAGGUAUAUAGCUUGCUAGAGGGAGGCACACUGGCUUGAGGACUG
Molecule: long non-coding RNA, 50480 nt
Filed under: Hordeum vulgare
Lineage: Eukaryota; Viridiplantae; Streptophyta; Magnoliopsida; Poales; Poaceae
Description: long non-coding RNA (HVUL_LNC012421)
Source: RNAcentral